GUCACCAGUUUGCCGUGCUUGGCAAUUGAGUCCCCGAGGUGCCUACCCAAUGCCACCGCAUUCUCGAGAGCCAAACGCCCCCCUAGCCCAAGUCGGGAGUCAUCGGGUGCAUUGUCUCCAGCCACCGUGACAUUUGAUUGGACUAGGUUUCCAAACAAAAUGUCCCAAGGAUAUCGGAAUAUCAGUGGCGCCCAUGUCAAACUCAAAAGAUCGGAGUGCUUGACGACAUGGAGGUACACGGGUUGGAAGUCCUUUGCCAAAUUUUCCAUCACCUUCCUUUGUAUCAUUUCUGGAUCUGCUCCUUUUUCCAUACCUUUAUGAAUGGAAACGUUAGGGAUCAAGGAGGAUUAGUAAGCUACUAUUGAAGGAGCCAUCGUAACCUCAGCGGAAGAUAAAGUGGAAUAUAUAUGGUACCUUUAGGAGGACACACCGCUAUGAAGAACCAGAACACUUCCUUAUCAUUGAGAGCAAUAAAAACCUGCCCUCUUGCCCACAUUCACAAAAUGUUGAAACACAUGGCCAUGGUCAAAACCAUGACCCUUUGGGAAUACGGACAACCACGUACUGCCGACCGGCCUGAAUAGAUUGGCGGGCAAAGUCCAAGCCAAUGGGCCAAGAUAGAGUGCACGUCAUCGUAUCCUAUAACAACCUACAUGUAUAGUACUUACAGUGUGGAUAAGUUAACCUCAUCAUAUUUGAAUUCAAAAGAAGGUUCUCUAGAAAUUGUAGGGACAAGCUCAUGCUUGGCAGCGUCAAUUCCAGUGCAGGAAGCCAAAUAGAAGUACGAAUUGGAGUUGCCGCAAGAGCAGGCUGUAUCCGGUUCACGUGCUCUGCGACAGAACGGAACUCCAAAGUUCCAACACAUGUCGAUGGAAGAAGGGGAGUGAAAACCAUGUGAUUUCGGGGGGAAACGCACACGAUAUCAUAUAUGCUCAUAUCAAGCCCCUUCAUAAACAGGCAAGCCGCCCAACCGGUACCAAGAACGACCACCCUUGGCUUUUCUCCAGGCUUAGUCGGUUCAAGACCUGGAUAUCUGUCCCUCUCAUAUUCAGAAUCGGACUCUGCCAAUGCCCUCUCGCGACGGGAAAUUGAUCAAGUGGGGUUGUCCUAAUUCCUCUGCUCCAGUUACUAGCAUAAUCUAACUUACUCGAUGGUAAGCAGUCGAAAAAUCCCUUCUCAUGGGGAAACUUUUGAAAGAAGAAAAGGAAAAUGAAUUCGCGAGUAGUACUCUAAAAUUUCUUCUUUUCCAUCUGCAAGGCUCCCAACAGCACCUCCUGUUCUUCUCAGGUUGCCCCGAACAAUUCUUGCAAGUGCCAUAGAGCAAAACACUAAUAAUUCAAAUGCAAGUCGAUAGCCUGGAUCUUUAGGCCUAUUGAUGAAAUUGCACCUGAGAGAAAAGAGAGGCUUGGGCUUAAUGCUAUAAGAAAAGCAGAAAGAUGUAGAGAAAGAUUAUGCAAUCACUCCAUGAUAUCAGGAGGAGGUAAAGACAACAUGUAGAACAAUUGGAGUUUGGUCCAAGCAAAAUGAAGACAACUAAUUGGUGUGUGACAACUAUUUCUUCAAUGACUUCUAAGACAAAAACAAGAAGCCAACUUAGCUUGAGGCUUGGGCUUAACCGCCGUCUUCGCCCACUUCUCCUCUGGCCUCCAUAGCCUCUGCCCGCCUCCUCCCUGUCCAACUCCUCCCGCGCCCCCUGCGCCGGUGGAGGUCGAGGCCCCCCGCCGCAUGGACAACCCGCACUGCCACCUCGCCCGCUACCUCUGCCGACCACUUGGAUUCAACACCUGAGACUUGAGCUCGAAUGACGGAGGACCGAGACGGCAGUGAGGCGGUGGUGGAAGGCAAUUCACGGGGGUUAAAGUUGACGACAAGUCUGAGUUGAUGUAUGUCUGUUGUCGUGAAGAGAAAAAAAAAUAAAAAGAAAAAAAAUCAAAGGAAGAAAGGAUGCAGGGGCUUCUGCUGGGUGGGUCCGAAUGUGACUGUGCCAUUUUGGCGGUCACAAAUCAAUUAAAUUCUUGAAACUCACUCAUAUCGGGGUAUAAACUUUAUUUUUCACAUACAUCAUAUAAAAUACACGUAUUUAGGGUUUCGUAUGCAUUUUCACAUCUAUAAAAUCAUCAAACAUAUAAAUAAAUACACCACAAUAUAGAGAAUAAUCAUACGAACCAGUAGCCGCAAACCGUGCGCCCGCACGCGCCGCCUGAGUGCACGACGCAUGGAGCACACGCGCGACCGUAAAGACCCCUCAGAUCCAGUCCGACCAGUUCCUGGCUCGACCGUCCGGUCCAACCGUCUGAUCCAAUCGGUUGACCGGUUUGGUCCACGGUUGACUAGUUCGGGCGGGUCAAUGGGUCGUGUCAGCCCCAAGGUCGUUGACGACAUUGUGACAACCGCCCUUGUGCGUGCAACACACGCAUGAGCGGCGCUGCGCGUGGGUCGGAUAUUGAAUGGUUUUGGAUAGGAUUGACGUGGCAUUACUCGUGCACUUGAAUGGCCUGAAACAACGAAGAAAUGGUAAGACAAUGGAGGAAAAUCAAAGGAAGCAGGGGGAGGGAGCAAGAGAUAGAUCGAUCUUGGAUCGUCGGGUUAGAAAAGAAAGAAAAGAAAGAAAAAAUCCUCUAAUGUUAAAUUUCUCCUUUUUUUCAAAAUGUUAAAUUAAAUCUCGAUAUCACAUGAAAUUUUAUGAAAAGAAAUUAUGAAUUUAAACUCGAUGGUUUGCCUCACGACAAUCGAAGGAGUUUUCCUCGUGACUUGGUAACAGGCGCUCCAAAGGGCCAAGUAUCAAGACCAAGCAUGCAUGGAAAGUCAUCUUUUUUUCUCAAGAUUAUUUUAUUCGCUUAUACUGUCAAAUAAAAUACAAUGUGUGACUUGCUGAAUUUUAGUGUACCGUUCAUGAAAAAAAAAGUGGGAAAUCUCUUUUUGUUUGAAACUUAAAGAAGAAGGUCAAGGGUGAACAAGUUAUAUUUGGUUAGCCUUUAUUUAAAUUUCACGUAAUUAUAAAUAAAAAAAAAAGAUCUUGAAACCAAAUGAAAUAUAAUUAUCGAAUUGCUACUUUAAAAAAAAAAAGGAAUCACGCGAAGAAAGAAAAGUCCAUGUUUGCAAACGUCUGUGCUCUUGCGUUUCGCCUUCUGCACAAGAAGGUCCGGAGGGCGGCGCCCAGGACGCCAAGAGACCAUUAAGCCCUCGGCUCUUCACCUCGGAAAAGAAGUGAAGGGGAGGGUAAUUAUGGGAUUUCCACCUCCUAAUUCCUUCCCCCGGCCCCCAAAAAGAAAAAAACAAUCACGAGGUCAAAAGUGGGGAAGACAAUAAUGUUUGACGGCGGCGCUUGGUUGGAAUUUAAGAAAAAGAUAUUCGGUCUGCCAAUAACAGAAGGCACUUCAUUCCAACGAAUCUUGUUACUUAAUUAUAAUUUUUAUUAAAUACAUCAAGAAAAGUACAGUAUCAAUUGAGAAUCUACAUAUCUACCACACUAUCAAAUAAAUAUCAACCCAAACUUAAAAAGAUCCGACCCAAACCUAAUCCUAUGAUGCUCUUGAUCAUCAAGUGAAAAGAUCCAUACGAAAUAAAAAAGAAAAAAAAAAAGAAAAACAAGUGCAACCCUGAGACAAACAAUACGAUGAACUUUUGUGUUAUGCAUUGCAAUAAAUUUCAUCAUCGAUUAUUAAACAAAAUAGAAGACCAAAAUCCGAUUGCAACUCCAUAACUAGAUGGAGCUUUCAGAUUCACAUUAAGGCAAAGGGGAGACACCAUGAAGCUUCCCACAAUCAUAUUCUGUAAAACCUUUCACCACUCUACCCAAGAGGAGCCCAUAGAAUACAUCUCUUAGGGACCUCAUGAAUCGAUUAGACCCAUCUUGUUGCACCCAUCCCGACAAGUACGAUGCUGUUAUCAGUGUCGCCACCCUCAAUCUUCUCUCCUUUGCAUACCUCUCUAUAGCAAAUCCGAUGUCUCCGGUCACCAGUUUGUUGUGCUCGGCAAUGGAGUUCCCGAGGUGCCUACCCAAUGCCACCGCAUCCUCGAGAGCCGAACAUGCCCCCUGGCCCAAGUCGGGAGUCAUCGGGUGCAUAGCGUCUCCAGCCACCGUGACGCUUGAUCGGAAUAGGUUUCCGAACAAGACGUCCCAAGGAUAUCGGAACAUCAGUGGCGCCCAUGUCAAACUCGAAAGAUCGGAGUGCUUGACAACAUCGAGGUACACGGGUGGGAAGUCCUUCGCCAAAUUUUCCGUCACCUCCCUUUGUAUCAUUUCUGGAUCUGCUCCUUUUUCCACACCUUUAUAAAUGGAAGCGUUAGGGAUCCAGGAGGAUUAGUAAGCUAGAAUUGAAGGAGCCAUCGUGGUUGGGAAUCUCAGCAGAAGAUAAAAUGUAGUAUACAUGGUACCUUUAGGAGGACACGUGGCCCCGAAGAACCAAUACACUUCCUUAUCAUUGAGAGCAAUAAAACCUGCCCUCUUGCCCACAUCCACAAAUUGUUGAAUCACAUGGCCAUGUACAAAACAAAACAAAACAAAAAAAGAAUAUUAAUAAGUAAAAUUAUUUUUUUUCAUCAUUGAGAAAUUGUAGGACAAAUCAAGGUCCAGCAUCCUGGAUCAAUAACCGAUUUAAGAAGCUCCCAAAACAGCGAAUCCUAAAAUCAAAUUAACAAAGUACAAAACCAAUGUAGAGCUUAUCUUUCUACUCAGUAUAUCUUGCUUGAAAAGCCUAUUGCUCUUUCUCACUGAUAUUGCACUUUUCCCUUCAUUUGAUGAAUAUCUAUCUAAUUAGUUAGUUUAUUCCAAGCAUUAAUCGCAUUAGCAACCUCAAUAGGUAAAUUUCACGGUGCACUUUACAACUGGGAAUGAUCUCAAUUUUCAUGAUUUUCUCCCCGUGCAAGAUGUGUGACCUCUUUUUGACCAAUUUUUUUAAUACCCAACUAACACAGUUUGUUAAUAACCAAAACAAAACAAAAAAUCAUUGCGUCAUAUGAAGGUCUAGUCACUGCGAUUGAAAUGGGUUUUGAUUUUUUUAACUACUUUUCACUAUAAAAGUGAUUUACUUUGAGUUGGUUUUACCCCCAACGAGCUAGCACAAGAUUAGGAAUAUUUAAUAUCUUCUAAACGAUGCUUACACUAAUUCAGCAUCGAUCAAAUUUGAGUGCUGUCAUCUUUAAUAGCAGAGAAAUCACGCAUUUAACUCUCGAUCUGUACAUGAUUGUUGAACUAAAGAUUGGACCGAGUUUUAAUACUUCGAAACGAUAAAACAUUCCGCAAUAAUCAGACAUCUGUUUUCAAGAGCAAAGAGCGAACAAGGACCUCACUUUUCAAUAGGAGUGUACAGGGCUGCGAGCUUGUCCGAAACGCCGAGUGCAUCGAGCGCAACCCACGCAUUAGCAAAGAGACCGAGACCCGCACCGGUCGUUCGGAGCUCCUCCGAUCUCUCAAAGACGAGGGCUCGUACACCGACCUUCUUAAGGGCCACCGCCGUCGCCAGACCUGCGAUGCCGGCACCGACUAUCACCACCUCCUCCAUGUAUGGUCGUGUUCUACUUCGAGCUUGUGAGAGUGCGCACGUGUGCUUUUUGUGUUUUAUUCGGAUAAGGAAUCCUUAUCUUGUGGUCGCUAUUUAUGGAGUGGCAAACCUGUCGUCUUUUGAUAAUUACGUCCCUGCUUACGCAUGCUACAGAAGCAUCACUGAAUGAAAAUUACAGCCACAGAAUGGAGGGGAAUGGUUGAACGCAACGUGAGCCAUUUCCAGAAAAUUUCGGUUUUUAUUUCAAAAAGAGUGAAAUUAAAAUUUCCAACCUGGAUAUAGACUUUUCAAAGUCAUUGGUUUUUCCAGUUCUCUUCGGUUCUUUUCUUUAUUUUACUAAGCUUUCGCUCUUGUAAGGUGGAUUUGAACUUGCUAUGUUGGAUUUAGUUAUGUGACAUCCGUAAGUUUAGAACGUGUUCCUUUUUAAGCUUUAAAUUUUCUGAUUGACAGUACGAGGGACUUCAGAUUUUUCGUAUUUGCCAAUUUCGAGCUUGGUCUUUAUUAAGGAGUCUUACGUGAGGGGACUGGCUUUCAUUUAAUAAUAUUUUCGUGACAAAGAGCAUUUUGGAUACUUCAGUUGCAGAAAAUCUUUUUUGGUGAAAAUUCCAGCAGCAACGUCAGUGUUUGCGUCAAAUGCCCAGAUUGACCAAACGUCCUCUGUUGACCAUACGAUCGACUAGUCGUCCUCUAUCACGGCUGCUAUAAACCAGGAUGAAUUCAAAGAGGCUUAUUUUGAAUUAAGGCGAGCUAUUUUCAUCCUCUAUACGAAUAAAUUCACUCCUUUUUUUCUCGAUAAACCAAAUCGGCUUUAGUGGUUUCCAUAUAUGCACGGUUUCAUUUAACUUCACUAUUUCCCUUUUAUGAUUUUCCGUCGAAGUCAAACUGAUAUGUAAAGGUGGUUAGAAAUCAUCAAGCUUAGUUAACUAGCUAAUGGAUUAAGUCUUGAAUUGCUAGUUAUUUGUGUAAACCUAGACAAUAAACCUCACACAAAAUAUCUUUGAAUCAAGAUUGAUUUUUAGUUGUGUUCACUCUUUCAACCUUGAACUUCUCAGAAUUUAUGCAUAUCUUAAAAAAAACUAGCCUUUAAAUAGUUUCAUAGAGUUAACCUACUCUAUGUUAGGAAAAUCCCUUAUGAUACUUUGAAGAUAACAAAAUAAAUCAAAAACUAUUAACGUGUUUAAUUGUUGAAUAAUAGACUAUGCAGAUGAUAGAACAUGUAAAUGAUAUUAUCAAAGUUUAUACUUAGAAAAACUAGAAAACUGAACGUAACACAUGUCCAAAGGCUAUUUUGAAUAUUUCUAUACUUCUGUGUCAAAGUCUGAACACAUGUCCAAAGUCUACAUCGGAAGUUUGCUCACUCUGACAAAUUCCAGACUGAACGUGAAUGAAAAACCAGAAGACAGACUCUAUGCUGAAACUGAACCAGAAGACAGACUCUAUGAUGAAGCUGAACUUAUUCAGACUGUGUUCAGGCCUUAAAGUUAAAUCUGCUUAGAAGCAGAAUAUGUUCAGACCUAGAUUGUAAAGUUUAUUGCUCUUCAAACUCAGUUUCAAAAGUCUGUUGUUAUUCAAACUCAGGUUAAAAGUAAAGGUUUUCACUGUAUUUUGCAGAAUUUAUUUUUACACCUAUUCACCCCCAUCUAGGUGUUCAUACUAGUACUUUCAAUUGAUAUCAGAGCCAAGUGCUCAGUUUAUAAAAGUAUUUUUACUUUUGAGCUAAAGAUCUUCUAUGGCUAGUAUCUUGGCACCAGGACUUAUGGAAUGGCAAAGCAACACCAGGCUACCAUAUUUUGAUAGAAAGAAAUACAACGAGUGGAAGAACAAAAUGAAAGCAUUCCUAAGAUCCAGAGAUCCCUUGCAAUGGGAUGUUGUAGAAAGAGGAAUCAAUCCCACUGCUACGCCUACAUCAAAUAAGAAUGGUGAAGACAAAGAAACCAAACUCUUUGCUCCUAUAUCUCGAAUGGAAUUGUCCAAAAGAGAAGCUCUUGAUGCAAAAGCCAUUUAUUAUUUAUAUUGCGUCUUGUUUCUUAUUGAAUAUAACAGAAUCUCUUCAUGUGAAACAGCAAAAGAAGUUUAGAAUAGACUUCAUGUUACAUAUGAAGGGACUAAUCGUGUAAAAGAGACAAAAGUAAACCUCCUGCUCGACAAAUAUGAAUCCUUCAAGAUGAACCAAGGAGAGUCGAUCGGAGAUCUGUUUAGCCGCUUUACAGAAAUUGCAAAUGGUUUGGCGUAUCAAGGUCAUCCAAUUUCUUCCCAAAUGAAGGUCAACAAAUUUUGUGAGGUCUCUCAAAAGAUUGGAACCAUGUCAAGACCUCAAUUCGAGAGACUCGGAGGAUUAUGCCACUCUCCGUUAAUGAAUUGAUUGGCACUCUUCAAUCCUACGAAGUGGAACAAAUUGUUGAUGAAGAUCUCGAAGGUAAGAAGUCCAUCGCUUUAAUAUCUAAUGUUGAUUUUGAUGAUGCAAACUCAAAAAAUGACAAGGACGACGAAGAACUUGCUUUUAUGAUCAAGAAAUUCAAAAGGCUGAGUAGAAAAGGAAGGAAAUUCAGUGAAAGAAGACAAUACAAGCAAAAUGGCCAGAAAAGAACAAUAAAAGAAGAUGACGAGUAAGGAAAUAUAUGCUUGAUGGCACAUUCAGAAUUUGAGUCUGACUUAGACACAAACUCAGAAUCAAAGUCUAACUCAGACACACUCUUAGAUGAUGAAAUCGAGGUAAGUCAUUCAGCCAUUUCUAUCAAAGUUCUUAAGUAUAUAAGUGAGCUUUGCUCAAAUUUCAAAUCUUCUCUUAAAAGAAUCUUUGAACUUAAAAAUGAAAAUUCUUGGCUUAGGCAACAAGAUCUUUCUAGAAAAGAAAAGUUUGAAAUUUUGCAAAAAGAUUUUAUACAAACAAAAGAAAGUCAAGAUUUACUUGUCAAAGAAAAUGAUUCUUUAAAAAAUGAAUUUUCAAAUAUUUCAACAAAAUUUUCAAAUGGAUCAAAAACAUUAGAGCAUAUCAUUUCCAUACAAGUACCUUACUAUAAUAAGUCCGGACUUGGUUUCAAUAAAGAAAGUGAUUCUCUAAUUGAUUUUCUUAAAGUCAAUGAGAGACUUAAACAAAGACCUCCAAAGGCAUUUUACAAAAAUCAUUUUCAAAAAAUGUUUGUAAAACCUGUUGGUGGAAAUGCCCUCAAGUGUUCAAAUUGUGGAGAUUCAGAACACUUUAAGAAAGAAUGUCCUAAAGUCUUGAGAUUUAUUAAGAAAGAUUGGAUAAAACAAGCAUACUCUACUAACUUUCAUGGACCCAAGAAAAAAUUGGUACCAAAGAAAAUGUGAGUUGUUUUUUGCAUGAUAUAAAGAAUAAAGGAAAAGAAGAAAUUGGUAAGGAAUGUAUUUUUUUUUUAUUUGGGCACAUAAUUCUCAUUAUGCUUGAUAUUCGAUAUAUCCUUAGUUGAUUGGGAUUUUAUUCUUUGAUUUGUUUUAUUGAUGAAAUAAUCAUGUGAUUUAUUUUUGUGAUUCGUGAGUUGAGAUUUGAUAUAAUACGUGUGAUAAUUUUUGAUAUGCUGCUUAGAGACAAUUGAGUUUAUUUGGUUUAAUUUUAUGCUUUCAGAUUUUGUCAUAUUUUGCAAAGUGAAAAUAUGUUUUACGUUAUAUUAAUUUAUUAUGCAAGAUAUUUUUUAGAUACUCAAGGAUUUUAUCCACUCUGUUUUUAUCGUACUAUGACUAAGUGAGAAUUUAUUUUUCAAAAUACCAUUGUGCAUAAUAUUCUUUCUUGAAUACUUUAUUAUGAUGAAUUAAGAAAGAAUAUUUGUUUAUCUAUGGAAAUUUUCUAUUUUACUCUAACGAAAUGGAAGGAUCCAAUUGAUGGAUACCAAAAAGGGAAAUGAGUUGAUUGCAGGAAAUUCAAUGAGGCAAGAAUAAUUGUGAAUCUACGCAAAUUUUGGUACAAUAAGAAAAGAAUCUCAGGCGAAAAUUGGUAAUGAUUUUUUUUUUUUGGGUAUAUUUCAAACUUAUACCAUGGGUAAGAGAACAUUUUUUAUCAUCCCACCUUAUAAAUUUCUAUGUGCAUUUAUCAUAAUUUUGGAUGAUUUUUUUAUUAUAUUGCAAAUAUCUUUUGUCAUAAAUAUAAGGCAUUGCAAUUUUGGCACGUGAGAAAUAUCUAUUUUCUUUUUGCAAAAUGCACUAAUAAUAUAUUUUUUUAGUUUUACGCUCAAGCAAAUCCCUUUGAUCUUGAAAGAUAUUAUUGCAUAUUCAUGGAUGUUCUUGCUAUAUUCUUAAAAGAUAUCUUAUAUCUAGCAAGUUUGAUCCGCAAAUCAAAUGAAGAUAUUACGUGACUUUUUUUUUUUGCAAAGAUUAUUAUCUAUUAUCCAAGAUUUUGCAGGUGACAAUAGAAUCUUUCAUAUGUAAAGCUUGAUAAAAAAAAUUUGGAGAUUCUAUACUAUCUUCUGGAGGUUCAAAAAUUGUAUUCUUUGUGCAAAAUUUUUGCUUAUUGAGGAAAUCCCUUAUGCGGCGUACAAAAUGUUGAGUAGUUCUGAAUUUUAAUAAUGAUAAUUUUAUAUAUGCUAUUCAAUUUAUUUAUUUGAAGAAAUGGCAUUAUAUAUUAUGUAGAUAUUAUUAAAGCUUAUUGAAGAAAUAAGAGAGAGAGAGUUACAGCAAGCACGAGAGAGAAAGAGUUACAGCAAGCAUGAGAGAGAAAGAUCUUAAAAACGUUUAAAAUAUUGAAGAAAUAGUAAAAUAUCAAAGGAGCCGACUUGUGACGCAAGGAAAGUUGUUGGAACUAGGAAGGUGGGAGAGAGAUCUUGGAAGCCUCCUCGUUGGGGUUAGAAAAGAAAGAAGAAAAGGAAAGAAAAAAAAAAGAAGAGCAUCUUUGGUUAAAUUCCCUCUUUCUUCAAAUAACGUGGCAAGACUUUUACCGAUCUAAGUUAAAUCGCAAUAUUACUUUGCAUAACACAAAACUUAAUAAUAAGCCGGAACUAGAUAACUUGCACUAUAGUGGUCAGGAUGCGUGCUCCAAGAGGUCGGUUUUGAGAUCAUACACGUAGAAAAUGAUCUUUUCUUCGAGGUUUUUUUUUUUUUUUUUUUUUUUUUUUUGUGUAUUGGAGGAACCGUCUUGGCUGAUAGCUGCCAUGUAAACUCCCAGGUGACGCUAGCCGGGAAACCACCAUCCUGGCGCCACACGUCAAUCACCUAAUAGUCCGCUAGCCUCCCUACAACUUGCAUUGUAAGAGGUUCGAAUUCCUGACUUUCCCUCAAAUGACUAAAGCCUACUCAGCGGAGCUAUCACGGCCGGUUAUUUUUUGAGGUUAUUUUGUCCACUUAUAUUGUCCCACAAAUUUUGAUAUAUGUAUAGCUGAUUUUGGUACAUAUACCUUAAAGAAUUUGGUCAAAUGUGAACAAAUUAUAUAUAUUUGGUAACCUUAUAUUUAAAUGUCAUGUAAUUAACAAAACAAAAAAGAUCUCGAAACCGAAUAAAAAAAUAAUUAAGGAAGUGUCACUUCAAAGAAAGUCAUGCGAGGAAGGAAAAAUGCGCAUUUGCAACGUUUCGCAUUCCGUCCGCAGAAUAUUCCGGAGGCGGCGCUCAGGAGGGCGAAGAGACCAUCGAGUCCUUGACCUUUGACCUCGUCGUAGAAGUCAGCGGGAGGGGAAUUUUGGGUUUUCAGACCUCCCUGCUUUUCCAAAUCACCAGGUCAAAGUUGGGGAAAACAUGUUUUUUGACGGCUGCGGCUGGGUUGCAGUACAAGAUAUUUUCGGUCUGGCGAUGGGACGAAGAUACUUUAUUCCAUCAAAUUCUAUUGGUUGAUUAGAAUAUUGUCGGUGAAAAAAUUAACGGUUGAGAUUUAUUUAAGGACAUCGGGGAAAGUAUCGUAUCGAUUGAGAUCCAUGUCUCCACUACGAAAGCAUCACAUGGUGCCGCUUCGGUCUUACCAAGAAAAGGGGUCUUCGAUCAUGCGAUCGUGAGAGUUUUAAAUGCUAGAAUUUGUUGCCACAUUUAGAUUGAAAACAAGAUAAGAUGUUGAGGGAGGAAGAAACGAAAGAAGAAAAUGUAUGACAAAAUGAAAGCUAUGUUGAAUCGAGUCAUGUUAAUUGAACUUGAGCUUGAGAGAAAAAGAAAAAGUCCAAAUCUAGUUCAUAUGAGCGAAAACCCAUUUUUGGAAAAUAAGGAUCCACCUCGUAAUGAGCAAAUACCCAAUCCCCACCCAAUUACAUCGCUAAUCAGAAUAAUAAGUGAGCAUUUAUCUAAGUAUACGGCCAAUCUCGAAUCUAUUCGAACUUAAUAUCAUAGAAAUCAAGCACGUGUUUUGUGAUUUUAAACUACAUGCAUCGAUCUGUGCUGUUGAAGCCAUCCCUGCUUUAAGAGGUUGAGCUGGAAUGUGAAUGCAAUCAUCGCGAAAUUAACAGGUUUUUCAUGAUUGCUUAGGUCUAAUGAACUCAAAUUACGUCGUCGGCACGUGCCCGAAAGCCAGGGAGCAAAGGACAGAGUUGUUUCACGUCAUGUCGAAUGAGACGCCUUCCCACUUCCGUUCAGCUUCAACUCGCGUGCCAGAAAUCUCGGAAACGCGUCGGCAUUUUUGACCCGUUUGCUAGGUUGUCUCCAACACUACAGGGCAUAGUCAACCCCGUGAUGCAAGCCAAAGUUACCUCGUGUCCCUCGACCGUCGAAUCCUGCGUUUUGUCGGCCGUCCGAUCUGAACCCUAUCGACAUCGACCGUCGGAUCGGAGCGUGACGAUGACGGACCUGCCUUGGUUCCGCCCGCGUGAGGCAUGGGCUCAGCUGUCUUUCUGGAGUGCAAAGAGCAGACAAGCAACGACAGACAAAUGAAAACACCUUUAACGUACUCUGGUUGCCUCCAGCAAAUAUCGGCUUAUUUAAUACGCUGAUCAAAUCGAUAUAAUUGUCUAAUUCCAUACGACACAUUGUUGCAUGAUGGACCUUUUCGUUGUCCCCUUUAGAUACCAUAGGUUGCCUAAUUUUUUUUUUCCUCAUAAACAAGUACUAUUUAACUUCACAAACAAUUUUAUUUGCUUUGAAAGUAAUAAUCUGUUUUCUAGAUUGGCUCUGACUACUUGCUUUGUAUAUUAACGUUAAAUAGUUUCAUCUCAUGCAUGAAAAUAAUAGCAUUUCACUUUCAUUUUGCACGCCGCCCAUGGGGCCAGUGUUUACUUUGUGUCCGCUGUUAAAUUUGAUACAAGGAAGGUUUUGGCUUGCGCCUGCUUGAAUCCAAGCCCCUCUCAACAAAGUUUGGUAGCAGAUCUAAUCAAAUGAUAAGACGACCUCUCGUCUGCUAGAUAAUUGUCUUGUUAAUCCUAAGGUACUAAGCUCACACGAAAUGUAGUGUGAAAAAAAGAAAAACUAGUACCGCUUGUUUCCCCCCUUCUCUCCACCCAUGUGAACCCAAACCCAAUUCAUAUGCACUAACACCGCUUCCAUUUCUUUUUUCCCAAUCGAAACGCAUUUUUGAAACAAUGUUCACGAGAUUCCCGUGGGUGCAAAAAUUGAGUUAAUGAAACGUCGGAUAGAAAAGUAAUGUCCAAUUAAAGCUGGUCCAAAUUUGCAUAAAAAUAUACAAAUAUUAUUUUUCAAAAUCUUUGCCAAUUAUAUGACAUGAAAUGGACCUGAGAAGAGUCAGAGCAUUAUAAUCUUCUAGAUUACUUAGCCUAGAGUUGCCAUCUACAAGAAUAUCAAAUAUACAAGAUAGCGCUGAGAUGGUAGAUUGAAUCAGAUGUAGCGUCUUCUUCAAAGUCCCUCAGGCUAUAGCCAGAGGUAUUGCCGAGGCGUGUCAGCCUCGCAUCGUCUCUAUUGGCCGGUACCACCAUGUAGAAUUGCAAUUGCACAUGCUUUAGGGGCACAAGUGGAGAUACCUCCAUACUAUGCUGGGGCGAACUCAACUGCACGGUGUUCGCCUUAAAAACCUCAUCCAUGUAGCGCCACUUAAAGGAAAAAUGAUCCCACCAGUGCCAUUCAAAGAGCACCAACAAUUUGCUGGAUACAUACUGCCCAACAAUAUGCUAAUAAUCAGUUCAUUCGUGUCCAAUUCUCUUGUGCAGGACCUUCUACGACUUAAGAACCACGUCCUGUACUAUGUUAUUGAGGAUUUGUUUGAAACGCCGAAUGUUCUUGGCCGAUCUCGCCUUGCAUUUGUUCGCCAUCUUCGAGAAAGGAGCUGGCAAAGAUGGACCAAUCUAAAAGGAGUGUAUUUACUCGAUUUAUAUUGUCUGAACUUGAUACCUUUGGAUCAACAAGACAAUCCAAUGGACGAGAACUAAUCUUGUCAUUUGAUCAGUUCUACUUCCGAGUUGCGUCAAGUGGGAAUCGGAUUCAAACAAAGGGAAGCCAGCACCUUACUAGAGAUCAAAUUUGACAGAAAGCGCAGAACCAUUAGAACUCCAAAGAUAGCAAAAUAUGAUGAUGAUGAUCUCAAUUGCAUCCUCACCAGUAUGAUUGCUUUUGAACAGUGUCUUGGCCAAGCACUCGGGUAUGGGAUGCCUCAUUCAUACGGCCGAUGAUGUCCAAUUUUUGCUGACUGCAAAGUCAUCUCAAAUCAUGGCAUGAGCAACAAGGACUUUUCGGUGACAUUUGCAAAGGCGCUUUUUUUAAGGCCUACAGGAGCUAGCCUUGCACUUUGCAACUAUAAAUAAGUCUCUUAAGUAUGGAUGCGCUUAUCUUCGUUGGGCACGCUUUUCAUGACAACACAUGGCCAUUUUUUUCGGGCUUAUCGUGAUACUGUCGGGCAUGAUUCAAACAAUAUACACUGUCUUGCAAUACUAGCCCCCUUUGGUUCAACGUUUAGAAAAGGCUUUCGGUCUCUAUAGUCCAUUGGCCAAAUGCAAGUAGAGUUUAUUUUGUCUUUUGCUCAGUUUUGAGAAAAUACAAUUAUAUUUCCAAAUGACUCUAAGGGCCUUUAGCCAAAAGCAAGUUUGGACAUAUCUUGGCGAGUAGGAUUUUCAAAAUGCAAGUUGACUCUUCAUCAUUGUUCAUCUUCUCCAUGGGUUUGGUCAGAGAAGCCGAAUGGAGGCCGACCACUAGCCAAGGGGUAGCAUAGCAGUGACUAUCACCUGAGGGGUCACAUGACACGGACGAUCGUUGCUUGGGGGUUGCGACCAAGUCACGUGACCUCAGGCAUCACCUGGGUGGUUGCGACCCAAGUGAGCAUUACUUGGGGUCAGGCGACUCAAGCAGCCACCCAGGCAUCGGUAUCGCUUGGGUCGCGGUGACCUAGGUGGCCACCCAGGUGAUGGCCGCCCGGGUCGCACUAUGCCAAGCAUCGCUUAGGUUAGGCAACAUUAGGUAAGGCUGUCCAACAACCAAAUCUAGCUGCCGACGGUUGGCCAUCGAUUGUUUUGGCCCACGGUAGUGGCUAAUAUCUUCUAAAACAAAUAUAUAUUUUAAAAUUUUUUGAAAAAUUAGCAAAAAUUAUUAACAAAAUAUAGUUUUUACCAAAUGGCAUUUAAGCCAAAGCCCAAUACACUAUAAAAAUAGGGUUAAUACCUGAAAAACCCUAAACUAGUAUACAUGUGACAAAUUUACCCCAAACUAUUUUUUUGAUUACUAAAAAUCUUAAACUAGUAUAUCUUUGAUAAAUUUACCCAAAACUGGUACACUUGUGACAAAUUUAUCCGUUAUUAUUUUUCGUUAAAUUUUAUUGUUAAAUUAUUAAGUUAAAUGACACGUAACAGUUGAUUGGUAUACUAAUUUGGAAUUUUAUGCCUUGUUUGUCACAAUUUACAAUUUUUGUGAUUUUUUUAUAUUAAUCCAAUUUAACGAAUGGUAUAUUUGUAACAAAUUUACCAGUUUGAGGUUUUUUGCGGUCGAAUAAAUUCGUUCAAGGUAAAUUUGUCAUAAAUGUAUCAGUUUAUAGUUUUUUUUUUAUAGUCAAUCAGGAUAAAUUUGUCACAGGUAUACUAGUUUGGGAUUUUUCAUGGUAAAAAAAAUAGUUUGGGAUAAAUUUGUCACAGGUAUACCAGUUUGGGGUUUUUAGAGGUAUUAACCCUUAAAAAUAUAAUUAACCAAACACUAUUUGCAUUUUAGAAAACCUUUUUAACACAAAGAUAUUUGCAUUUUCCUAAUGACAUUUCCCCAAAACCGAACGAAACAGGGCCACUUUAGCCCAUGUAGCAAGAAGCAAAGUUGCAUCUUCCAUAUUGAUUUCAUUACAUCUAUUGACUCUACUUUUUAAAAUAUCGAAUCGGAUUUUUGAAAUUAUUGAGUAAGGAACUUUUCCCCUAGUGCAAAAAUUGAGUCGAUGAACAUAAGUUAUGCCCAAUCAAAAUUUGGCCAAAUUUGAGUAGGAAAACAUAUAGUUUUUUUUUUUUUUUGAUGACCCGAGAACCCUCGUAUAACCGGCAACCGGCGAGGUAAACCCGGGGCGAACUGCGCCGCCACCACAGACCUAGUCGUAGGUGAGUUGCGCAGUGAGGAUGCGGGGUUUUGAACCCCUCCCUCUUCGGUGGGUGAGAAAGCUCCAACCAUCGCGGCCACCGCGGGUGGUGGUGAAAACAAAUAGAUAUUAGUUUUCAUAAUUUUACCAAAUUAGAUUAUUCAAAAUAUUUGACCUUGUGAGGUUAAGAGCUUUUCAAUCAUUUUAAUUUAUUAAGUCUAAUCAUGACAUGAAGAUAUCAUGAUUAUUCGUUUGGUCCAAUUUCUGGUUAUGCGCAACCAUUAUUUAACACUCAUUAAAGAAAAGUGGUAAAUAAAUUGCAAGCAUAGAGAGGAAAUACUUACUUUAAAGUAACGAAAGCAUAUCAAUAAUCAUAGAUAUGAUCUUCAAUCAACAAGCAAUUUCACUUAAAUGUUUUUUUGGGUUUUCACUUAUUUAAAUGAAACCUAAUGCAUGUGCAAUGCAGUGCAAUGACGUACAAAAAAUGCCUAACUAAAAUGACAUGCAGCAUGCAGCCUAUCAAGCAAAUUAUAUGUCAUGUGACAUUAAUUAAAAGACUUAAUUUGAUGGAAAAUAAAAAUUUAUGGAACUAUUCUAACAUGUCACAUGCUUUAAUUUAAAUUAUUCCCAGAUAUGCAAUUUACUAUGCAAAUUGAUCCUGCAUAGCACUCGCUAUCUUUUAUUUUUUUAUUAAAAUUCGAAAUUAAAAAUUCCUAAUAUUUAAGCAUGCAAUCUAUUCUAAGAAAGGGAGUCUAAUCUAUCCUAAAGUAAUUUUAUUUUGGAUUUUUAUUAAAAAAAUUCGGAAUAAAUAAAAUGCCUUAUACAAUGCAAUCUAGUCCAAAAUUAGCAUUAUUAUCAACGAGAAUCAAAUCGAAUUUCAAUAUUUUUUUGGAUUUUCUUUUAUGGAAGCAAAAUCAAUUUAAAUCAAACAAAUGUCAUAUCCACAUCAAAUACGACACCAAAUCACAUGAGAUAUUAUGCAUAUCCAUUUAACUUUUGAAAUUAAUGGACAAAUUAUAUGUUGGGCAUGAGAUCGAAUUGGACAAUUUUUUUACGAAAUCGCGAAUAAUAUUUCUAGCAUAAGAUUAGAUUGACCAUUUUUUAUGCAAUCAAAAAUCAUAUCUCAGGCGUGAGAUCGGAUUGACAAUUAUGACAGGUUGUGAAAUUAGGAAAUAAUCCAUAAUUUAAAAUGAUACUCAAUAUUAUAAAUAGCAUAAUACAUCUGAAAAUUCAAUCAUAUACAUCAACAAUAUUUUAAAUAAGGAAACAAAAUAUUCAAAAAUCAAAUUAGACAAGAUUUUGCCCAAUCCAAAUAUUGGCUUCCAAAUUCAGAUGGUGAAUCACGAUGGUCUGAUUCGUGAACUGAUCUCGUUAAUGGGACAAAGACGUGGCUGCUCCCGCCCUGAUGAACAGCGAGGAAGCUUCGGGACCGCUUAAGAAACCUGCAAAACGUAAGGGGAAGGUAGCAACACGGAUUCGACCAGGCUAGGACCUCGCGAUAGCGUGGAGCGCGAUUAGGCGGCGUCAAGCUCAGCUUCAGGGACCGCCGGUAGGAGCAGCGCAGCAACAGGUUCGGCCAAGGGACUACACAGAUCAGCAGAUUGUUGUCGCGGGUCACGAGCGGCAGCGGAACAAGGCAGCNNNNNNNNNNNNNNNNNNNNNNNNNNNNNNNNNNNNNNNNNNNNNNNNNNNNNNNNNNNNNNNNNNNNNNNNNNNNNNNNNNNNNNNNNNNNNNNNNNNNUAAAAAUAAAAAGAUUAGAAGGGAAAAUUUUGAAAAAGAAAAUUUUUGAAUUCAAAAAUAAUUUCAAACAGUCGGGAUUUUGGGAGCCAUUUUCUUUGUUGGAGAAAGUUGAGCAAAAAAUCUCCCACCGAGCAAAAAUCUCCUACCGGCGAAACAAACUCGAAUUUUUCGCUUUAUAAAUAAAGGGGUUCUUCUUCACCUUUCGGGAGAGGAAUUCGAAAAAAAUUGAGAGCAAAAAUUCUGUCGUUUAGGGGGGGCUUCUCUUCAUCUUUCGUUGAAGGAAAAAGAAAACACAAAAAAGUAAAAGUCAAGAGAAGCUUUCNNNNNNNNNNNNNNNNNNNNNNNNNNNNNNNNNNNNNNNNNNNNNNNNNNNNNNNNNNNNNNNNNNNNNNNNNNNNNNNNNNNNNNNNNNNNNNNNNNNNNNNNNNNNNNNNNNNNNNNNNNNNNNNNNNNNNNNNNNNNNNNNNNNNNNNNNNNNNNNGCUUCGAUUUUUACUCCUCUCCACUGCGACGACCGGCUCCGUUUAUGCUUCAAUUCGGAGACGCUUGAGUUCAACACCGGAACCCGAAGGAAAGCCCUCUGAUCCGGCGGCCCGUGUUGCACUGACGCCGCCGAACGAGCCGACGCCCCUGCAGCACCUCCGUUGCAGCCCGACGACCGCGCCUCUACAACCCGCAGCCUCACCACGCCGGACUCGCACCCGAAGCCCCGCCAACGACCCAGCGACGCCGGAGCCCCUCUGCAGAUCCCACGACGGCCCCGCUUCCGAUCAGCGCCUGCACCUGAAGUUUCCCCGCGCUGCUCUGCCCCGUGAUGCUGCAGCACCUCUGUUCGUGACCACCCCCUGCGACGCCAGCAGAUCCAGUGCCCACCGUCGCGCCACCUCUGUUCCGCCGACGAAACCGCUCCUGUACUGAUUCGAGCCACCGCCGAUUCACCUCUUCACCGCUCGCCCACCGCCGGUUCACCUUCGUCGGAGCCCCCCUGCUGGUCCGACGACGUGCUGCUCCCCAGUGACCCAGAGACUCACGAGCACGUGACUAGAAGAAAAAUGAAAAAACAAAAACAAAAACAAAAGAAAAAGAGAAAAGCAAAUUAGGUAGUUUGCUUUUCUUUAUUUUAUUUAUUUUGUUAUUAUUGUUCAAUUUAGAAUAUUGAGAUGUGCUUUUCUUUUAUAAAUCUCGUAGGUAUUAACUGCAAGUACUUUAUCUCAAAUUAUGGUAAUUAUUAAUUUGACCCGUAAGACGUCGGGUCAUUUUUUUAAUUACUUUAAUUUUUAGGAAUUUUGAUAGUAUUUCAAUUGUUAAAUUGUUAUAGAGUUAAAAUAAUUGUUAAUUUAAUCCGUGAGACAACGGAUUAUUUUUUCGGUUAUUUUAAUUCUUGUCUUAAUUCUUUUAAAAUAAUGACUUGUUUGGAAAAAUUAAAAAAAAAAAUAAAAAUAAAAAAGUACAUAAAAAUCUAAAUAUUGCAUUAGAACAUUUAGGGUUAGUAAAUUAGAAUUUGCAUUUAUAGGAUUAUAAUUUUUAGAUUAUACUUUUAGAUGGGUGGUUUUUGUUAGGGCUAAUUUUAAAUAAUGUUGGCAUGUCUUGAUUUUUUAUAUAGCUUUCAGGAUAAAGUAUAGUUUAAGUUAAAUUGAUUCCUAAAAUAAAUUAGAAUAUCAUUCACUUUAGUUAGUCUAAUUAGUUUUAGAUUAAGUCAAUUUUCAUUUAAUAAAACAAAAAGAGGAACAAAAAAAUGUUAUGCAUGCCAUGUGAGUUAUAGUUUAAUUGUUUUUUUUAAUAAAAGGAAAAUGCUAAAAGAAAAUCAUUGCACCAUUAAGUUACUUUCUUUUCAAUAAAAAACAUUAUGUCAUUAAAAAAUAAAAAAAAUAAAAAUCAUUUCAUUGGUUAGUUAAUAGGUUAAUUCAUAAUUAAUCUCACAUCAUCAUUAUUUAGCAUAGGUUGCAUAUAUGCAUUAAAAAAUGAAUCAUCAUAAAAAAAAAUCAUAAAAGAGCAUGCAUGUAGAAAUAUCAUGUCAUUCAUCCCAUAUCAUGUAGCAUACGCAUAUUUAGGAUUAUAAAAAUUAGAUUGCAUACAUAUAGUAAUAAGUUUAAGUCAUACCAUAUGAAUUGCAUCUCACAUAUCAUUAAAGUAAAAUCCAUGCAUAUUAAAUUUAGAUUAAGAUUGCAUAUAAUUAUUUUUUUUAAAAUAAAAAAGAAAAAAUUAGGUGUCAUGUCAUUUAGAAAUCAUGUUUAGGACAUGCAUUUUUAUUAGCAUUUUUUAUUUGAAUGUUAUUUUAUUGAUUGCGCACCCGCAUGACCACCAUUUGCAUGUUAGUAAUCUAGGUUUAAAUUAAUCAACAUUGCCUGCAAAAUAUUUUUGAAAUUAAAAUAAAAGGUACCGAAAGGGCGUUAGAUUAAUCUAGCGUAAUCAUGUCCCCGGACCUAUUGAAUCUCUGGUUCGCAAUAGUAAAGUAUUCUCCCAUACUUUACUUGGGUUUCUAACCAGCCCUAAUUGGUUAGUGGCGGCUCCAAAUUGAAAUUGCAUGUUUAAAUGAAUUAAUUUCUAUCAAGUCGCGAUUGGUAGGACUUGGGAGGGUCCGCGCCAAGUCUUCGGACUUAAUAAUCCAUUAACCUAAACUUCUAGGAUUGCCCCUGAAAAUUUAGGUCGCGACAUUGGUGCAGGCGACAAGCGGCGGCAGAGGCAGCAAACAGUGGCAGGAUUCAGGACGGCUACUCGCGUUGAGCAGCAAGGACGUCGCAGGGCGCGACCAGAAGAUGGACUAGGCUUAUCAGACAUUGCAGUUGCAGCAGCGGUUCGCGUGUGAGGAUGCGCAGGCAACGACUCUGCGACAGUGAGAAGCAGCGGCGAGUCGUCAUCCAGAGGCAGGAGGUGCGGUGCAGCAGCUUACGUUGGACUCAGGUAGAUGCUUGUGCUCACCAAUCUAGCAAGUGACAAGCCUAAGCUUGCUUAUGGCCAGUGAUUGGCCAAGAAAGAAGAAAAGAAAAACAAAGGAGAGAAAAAAGAAAAAAAAGAAAAGAAAAAGAAAAAAGAAAAAAGAAUUUGAAUUUUCUAUUAAAAAAGAAAAGAAAGAAAGAGAAAGAAGUGAAAGUUUGUAGGGGUGCAAGAUAAAAGAGAGCAAGUGGGGAAAAUGUUUUCCAUUUUUCAAAAAUAAAAAAUAUUUUCCCUUUUUUAGAAGACUUUUUUUUUUCUUAUUGGAAUAUGUUUUCUUUCGCCAAACAAUUCAUUUUCCUUGAAACGAAUGCCGGAAAAUCUGGAAAACGUAAACGAACUAAGCCUAAAUUUUAUUUUAUUUACCUUACUUUCUACUCAUGACCAUGGACAUGGGAGAUUUUCCUUGACAGCGCAAUCUUUCUUGUUUUAAAAUAAGAAAUAUAUUACUCAAUAUGGCCCUCGUUGACUAAUCAUCUCCUUGCAAUCUAUAUAUAAUCUAUAUAUAUUUUCCUUGCUUGCAGAUCUUCCUUUUUUGUCCUUUAUUUCUUUCCCGCAACUAAGGGAUUCGGCCUCCCUCAUAUAUCAUUCGCAUGUCAAUUCUAUGCGAAAAGAUAUUUUGAUGAAAUCCUUGUGCACAUAAUUUCAGCCAUCAUAGAAAUAAUGGGCUCGGUCAAUUUCUCUCUCAUCAUGGGCUUAAUCCAACUUGCAAAAUUAAAACCCAGAACCAUCAAUCCAAACUUAUCCGCUGGUUCAACACAAAUGCAAUAGUCAAAAAUAUAAACUAAACAAUAAAUGCUCCUAAAACUAUGUCCUAUGCAAUUUAAUUAUAGUAUUUUUGUUUAGGCGUUAAAAAAUAAUUCCUUAGUUUCUAUGCAAUAAUGGAUGACUGGGUUGCCACAAUGACUUUUACUACUAAGUUGAGUAACUGAGAAGAGAUUGUCACUAAAAUUAGGGACAUGAUAGUUAGGAGAUAACAACAAAGAUCGAGGAUUAUUACGUAAAAAGGUUUUGUCAACUUAAUAGGCAAUAAAUGACCAUUACCAACUAAGACUUUUGUCAAAUCAUAAAAGGGUCUAGAAUUUAGAAUUUUAAGAUACCACAUUGGAUCAUAGGUUUCACUAAUUGCGAAAGUUGAGAAGGAGUUUGACAAAUUGGUGUGUCCUACCCCAUUAUAGAUCAAACAAGUAAGAUGAGACCUAGAUCCAAGAUUGCCUCCCUGUGUGAAUGGGGGAUGAUAGGGCUUCGAACCACCACCAGAUCGACUAGAGAAGAUGGAGGAAUGAUCAGCAAAGGGGGUCGAUACUGAUUGUGAACUAAACCGAUCAUUGGAAAAUCACCAAUUUAGUUGACCACUAAAAAACCAUUUACCUUUCCCCGUCCGUAUAUUUGGCCUCUAGAAUUAUGUCCACCUUGAGAUCCUCAAAACAAUGGGUUAAGUGAAGUGGCAUGACUAAUCAAAGCAUGAUAAAUAUCAAAUAAAGAUGAUGCAUUCAAUUUCCAGGAAAAUCAUUCCUCUUAGAUGAGAACAAAGAAGAAUUAUAGAGCCAUUUGUGACCAUGGUGAAAAAAGGACCAUGCUCACACGGAAGCCCGUUGAGGCUUGAAUCACCAUGUCCUUAUUAGAGACGGAGCAAUUGAUUACAUUGAGAGAGUUCACAAUUGACUUAAGAUGUCAAAAAUAAUCAGACAUGGACUAAUCGAGUUUCUUGACAUUGUUCUGAAAGUCAAGCUUUUGUCCAAUUUCCCUAGCCGCCCAGCAUUCAAUAAAGUGCUGUCCUAGAGCAGCCCGAAUCUCCAAAAUGUCCAAAGGUCAUGAACUUUAUAGAAAAUCUCGACUAUGAGAGUUGAAUUGAUCAAACUACAAAUGCAUUAAUUUGUUAUGACUCAAGUGGAAUAGGAGGUAUUAACCACCAUAGUCCCAUUAUGGUCAUUGAUAAGCUUCAACUGACAUGGAAAGAGCAUCCACAUAGACCAUCAAAUCAUUGCAAAUUAGAAUAGCUUCAAAUUGAGAUUUCCAUAAAUUGAGAUUUCCACAAAAGGUAAUUUUCAGCAUCGAGUUUGAUGGAGUCAAGACUUGUGAUGGUGAGAAGAAUGAGAGAUGGUGAGGAUGAUUGCAUGGUUGUAAUUUGAGCGGCAACAGCAAAGAUCAGAGCAACGGAGAAGAGGAAGAAGAGGUGAAAAGGGAUGCAAUGUUAUUAAGAGGUAAUGGGAAAAUUGGGAUUAACAAAAAAAGAAGAUGAUAGGUAAAGAGAUAUUAGAGAAAAAUAACAAUUUGGAGAUGUAUUGGAUAUGUUGAGAUAGUAAUUGAAGCAAAGGAAGUUUGAUUAGGGGUAAAUAAGUUGAAUAUUUUGAUAUGUUUUCCCAAACAGAUACCCAUGUUGACAGUUAGAAUCAGAGAAAAAAUAACAUAAAUGAACAAAAAAAAGAAGAUGAUAGGUAAAGAGAUAUCAGAGAAAAAGAACAAUUUGGAGAUGUUUUGGAUAUGUUGAGAUAGUAAUUGAAGCAAAGGAAGUUUGAUUUUGGGUAAAGAUGUUGAAAAUUUUGAUAUGUUUUUCUAAAUAGACACCAUGUUGAUAUUUAGAAUCAGAGAGAAAAUAACGGUAAAGUGUUUGUGGUGGCUCAUCUCCAAUUAAGAUUAUAUCAUAUGUAUUUAUAAGAGUGACUAAUUACAAUUUGGACACAAAUAUAGACAUAAUUAUAAAAAUAUAUAUAAAUUACACAUUAAUAGUUAAUGCAACUAAAGUGCUCUUUGAUUAGUUUACGUAACAAUGUGGGGAUAGGUUGUACCUAUUGUUGUGUUUCGUGUCGUGAUUUUAGCCAAACUAGAAGGAUCUGACCCAAAUGUAAUCCCCACGAUGCAACCGAUCAUCAAAUGAAAAGAUCCAUAAGAAUUACAAAAAUGAAAAACAAGUGCAACCCUGAGACAAACAAUACCAUGAACUUUUGUGUUAUGCAUUGCAAUAAAUUUCAUCAUCAAUUCUUAAACAAAAUAGAAGACGAAAACCCAUUUGCAACUCCAUAAUUAGAUGGAGCUUUCGGAUUCACAUGAAGGCAAAGAGGAUACACCAGGAAGCUUCCCACAAUCAUAUCCUAUAAAACCAUUUACUACUCUACCCAAGAGGAGCCCAUAGAAUAUGACAUCUCUUAGGAACCUCAUGAAUCGACUAGACCCAUCUUCUUGCACCCAUCCCGACAAGUACGAUUGUUAUCAGUGUUGCCGCCCUCAAUCUCCUCUCCUUUGUGUACCUCUCAAUAGCAAAUCCGAUGUCUCCGGUCACCAGUUUGCCGUGCUUGGCAAUUGAGUCCCUGAGGUGCCUACCCAAUGCCACCGCAUCCUCGAGAGCCAAACGUCCCCCCUAGCCCAAGUCAGGAGUCAUCGGGUGCGUUGUCUCCAGCCACCAUGACGUUUGAUCGGACUAGGUUUCCAAACAAAAUGUCCCAAGGAUAUCGGAACAUCAAUGGCGUCCAUGUCAAACUCAAAAGAUCGGAGUGCUUGAUGACAUCGAGGUACACGGUGGGAAGUCCUUUGCCAAAUUUUCCAUCACCUCCCUUUGUAUCAUUUCUGGAUCUGCUCCUUUUUCCAUACCUUUAUGAAUGGAAACGUUAGGGAUCAAGGAGGAUUAGUAAGCUACUAUUGAAGGAGCCAUCGUAAUCUCAGCGGAAGAUAAAAUGGAAUAUAUAUGGUACCUUUAGGAGGACACGCCGCUAUGAAGAACCAGUACACUUCCUUAUCAUUGAGAGCAAUAAAAACCUGCCCUCUUGCCCACAUUCACAAAAUGUUGAAACACAUGGCCAUGGUCAAAACCAUGACCCUUUGGGAAAACGGACAACCCCGUACUGCCGACCGGCCUGAAUAGAUCGGCGGGCAAAGUCCAAGCCAAUGGGCCAAGAUAGAGUGCACGCCAUCAUAUCCUAUAACAACCUACAUGUAUAGUACUUACAGUGUGGAUAAGUUAAAGUCAUUAAGUUAACCUCAUUAUAUUUGAAUUCAAAAGAAGGUUCUCUAGAAAUUGUAGGGACAAGCUCAUGCUUGGCAGCGUCAAUUCCAGUGCAGGAAGCCAAAUAGAAGUACGAAUUGGGAGUUGCCGCAAGAGCAGGCUGUAUCCGGUUCACGGGCUCUGCGACCGAACGGAACUCCGCGACCGAACGGAACUCCAAAGUUCCAACACAUGUCGAUGGAAGAAGGGGAGUGAAAACCAUGUGAUUUCGGGGGGAAACGCACACGAUAUAAUAUAUGCUCAUAUCAAGCCCCUUCAUAAACCGGUAAGCCGCCCAAUCGGCACCAAGAACGACCACCCUUGGCUUUUCUCCAGGCUUAGUCGGUUCAAGACCUGGAUAUCUGUCCCUCUCAUAUUCAGAAUCGGACUCUGCCAAUGCCCUCUCGGCGACGAGAAAUUGAUCAAGUGGGGUUGUCCUAAUUCCUCUGCUCCAGUUACUAGCAUAAUCUAACUUACUCGAUGGUAAGCGGUCGAAAAAAUCACUUCUCGUGGGGACACUUUUGAAAGAAGAAAAAGAAAAUGAAUUCGCAAGUACUCCUCUAAAAAUUUAUUCUUUUCCAUCUGCAAGGCUCCCAACAGCACCUCCUGUUCUUCUCAGGUUGCCCCGAACAAUUCUUGCAAAUGCCAUAGAGUAAAACACUAAUAAUUCAAAUGCAAGUCAAUCGCCUGGAUCUUUAGGCCUAUUGAUGAAAUUGCACCUGAGAGAAAAGAGAGGCUUGGGCUUAAUGCUAUAAGAAAAGCAGAAACAUAUAGAGAAAGAUUAUGCAAUCACUCCAUGAUAUCAGGAGGAGGUAAAGACAACAUGUAGAACAAUUGGAGUUUGGUCCAAGCAAAAUGAAGACAACUAAUUGGUGAGUGACAACUAUUUCUUCAAUGACUUCUAAGACAAAAACAAGAAGCCAACUUAGCUUGAGGCUUGGGCUUAACCGCUGUCUUCGCCCGCUUCUCCUCUGGCCUCCAUUGCCUUUGCCCGCCUCCUCCCUGUCCAACUCCUCCCGUGCCCCCUGCGCCGGUGGAGGUCGAGGCCCCCCGCGGCGUGGACAACCCGCGCCGCCACCUCGCCCGCUGCCUUUGUCAACCACUUGGAUUCAAGACCUAAGGUUUGAGCCCGAAUGAUGGAGGACCGAGACGGCGGUGAGGCGGUGGUGGAAGGCAAUUCACGGGGGUUAAAGUUGACGGCGAGUCUGAGUUGAUGUACGUUUGUUGUCAUCACGGCGGAGCAAAAGGAAGAAGGUGAAGAGAACAAAAAAAAAAAAAAAUCAAAGGGAGAAAGGAUGCAGGGGCUUCCGGUGGGUGGGUCCGAAUGUGACUGUGCCACUUUGGCGGUCAUAAUUCAAUUGAAUCCUUGAAACUAUCUCAUACCAGGGUAUAAACUUUACUUCUCACAUACAUCAUAUACAUGUAAUUUUACCUUUAGUGAUGGGGGCAAUAUAUCAUUAAAAUCAUAUAUCAUGCUGAUUAUACUAUUUUAUUCAUUAAUAAAAGUUAAACUUUAUAUAUAUUAUCAAUGAAUCACGUUUUAAUAAUAUUUAUGUAAUAACAUACAUGUAAACCAACACAUGUAUUUCCAAAAUCACAUAAAAAUACAAGAAAAAUACGCAAAAAUAUUCUAAAAAUACACGUAUUUAAGGUUUCGUAUGUAUUUUCACAUCUAUAAAAUCAUCAAACGUGUAAAUAAAUACACCACAACAUAGAGAAUAAUCAUACGAACCAGUAGCCGCAAACCACGCGCCCGCACGCGCUGCUUGAGUGCACGACGCGUGGAGCACACGCGCGACCGUAAAGACCCCUCAGAUCCGAUCCGACCAAUUCCUGGCUCGACCGUCCAGUCCAACCGGUUGACCAGUCCGGUCCAUGGUUGACUGGUUCGGGCAAGUCAAUGGGUCGGGUCAGCCCCAAGGUCGCUAACGUCAUUGUGACAAUAGCCCUUGCGCGUGCAACAGAUGCAUGAGCGGCGCCUGCGCGUGGGUCAGAUAUUGAAUGGUUUUGGAUAGGAUUGACAUGGCAUUACUUGUGCACUUGAAUGGCCUGAAUCAACGAAGAAAUGGUAAGACAAUGGAGAAAAUCAAAGGAAGAGGGGAGAGGGAGCAAGAGAUAGAUCGAUCUUGGAUCGUCGGGUUAGAAAAGAAAGAAAGAAAGAAAAAGCCCUCUGAUGCUAAAUUUCCCCUUUCUUCAAAAUGUUAAAUUAAAUCUCGAUAUCACAUGAAAUUUUAUGAAGAGAGAUUAUGAAUUUGAACUCGAUGGUUUGCCUCAUGGCAAUUGAAGGAGUUUUACUCGUGACUUGGUAACAGGCGCUCCAAAGGGCCAAGUAUCAAGACCAAGCAUGCAUGGAAAGUCAUCUUUUUUUCUCAAGGUUAUUUUAUUCGCUUAUAUUGUCAAAGAAAAUACGAUGUAUGACUUGCUGAAUUUUAGCGCACCGUUCAUGAAAAAAAGAGAGUGGGAAAUCUCUUUUUGUUUGAAACUUAAAGAAGAAGGUCAAGGGUGAACAAGUUAUAUUUGGUUAGCCUUUAUUUAAAUUUCACGUAAUUAAAAAAAAUAAAAUAGAAGAUCUUGAAACCAAAUGAAAUAUAUGUAGGACGCAAACUGUGUAACCCCAAGAUCUCCAUAACUAGAAUAAGAACAUGCAUAAUUGAGUAGAAAGAUUAACGCACCUGUUUUGGGAUCCAUUGUUCUUGAAGCGGAAGCGGAAACACAAUGUUCCACGUGCAAGUCCUUCUCCUCUAUUGCCCUCCGUAUCACUAGCUCAAUGAGGCAGCCCCCCUCACGUGUAGCGUUAGGUAAACGCCCCUUAGGUGAGGAUACAUGUGAGAAUUAGGGUUAGAGGAUAGACUUGAGCACUAUUUAUAGAGUUUCUAGCCAGGCUCCCUCAUUACGAGCCAAACUCAACUCGGCCCACACUAGCCAGCCCCAUAUUAGACUAAUUAAUGAACUUUCUAUCUCACCUUAGACUAGCCUUGUUUUACGGUAGCCAUAAAAACAGUAAAUUACAAUUUCAAUUAAUGUAGUCAACAUUAGGAAAACUCUUACAUUCUCCCAUUUGGACUAUAUUAAUUGAAAUCGUACCUUAUGUGCGCACAUUGGUCCAGAGAUAAUUCUUAAUAGUCAAUCAUAUCCCAUAAAGUCUUAAACACCGAAUCAUGGCGGUAACUGCAUGUAUACACACAAAGCUUUCCAUGGUCACAAGUGCUCUCAACUUUAUUGAUAUGGAUUCAAUAUGGUAGUGUGGCAAAUGGAUAACUCUCUCAUAGAGAGAUCCCAUUUGUCAGUCACCAUUCUCUUACCUUAAGCGAUACAAAAAACUUGUGCCACUAAAGAAUGCUUUAUGGUUCCAAUGAACCUACAUAUGUCUUGUCCUUACGGUUAACAUUUCUUUAUGUAUCACAAGACAUAUGCACAAAGNNNNNNNNNNNNNNNNNNNNNNNNNNNNNNNNNNNNNNNNNNNNNNNNNNNNNNNNNNNNNNNNNNNNNNNNNNNNNNNNNNNNNNNNNNNNNNNNNNNNNNNNNNNNNNNNNNNNNNNNNNNNNNNNNNNNNNNNNNNNNNNNNNNNNNNNNNNNNNNNNNNNNNNNNNNNNNNNNNNNNNNNNNNNNNNNNNNNNNNNNNNNNNNNNNNNNNNNNNNNNNNNNNNNNNNNNNNNNNNNNNNNNNNNNNNNNNNNNNNNNNNNNNNNNNNNAUGACAUGACGAUAAAAAAACAAACAGGCGUAGCUUUAGUAGUGGAUCUGCAUCAUAUCAUCUGUAAAAAUAUAAUCUACUGCAACGUCACCAUUCUGCACCGAUCCUUUAUAGUAAAAAACUUGACCUCCAUGUGUUUGGACCCUUGAGACUUCAACACUGUAGAGUUAUUGUCACAAUAAAGCUGUAUGGGCCUAUCCACAAAAUCAAAAACCGAUAACUCUCUAAUGAGGUUCCGGAGCCAAAUAACUUGAGUAGCAGCUGAAAAACAUGCUACAAACUCUGCUUGCAUGGUAGAAGAAGAUAUGGAUUUCUGUUUUUCGCUCUUCCAUGAUAUUGCACCUCCUGCCAUCAUAAAUAUGUAUCAUGUCGUUGACUUCUUAUCAUCUUGAUAACCAACAAAAUCUGUAUCUGAAUACCCUACUAGUUGCAAAUCUGGAACAUGUCUAUAAAUCAGCAUAUAAUCUUUUGUUCUCUUUAAGUACCUUAAAACCUUCUUGGUAGCAACCCAGUGAUCGUAUUUUGGAUUAGAUUGAUAUCUGCCUAGAAGUCCAGUUACAAAAGCAAUAUCUGGUCUAGUCCAAACUUGAGCAUACAUGAUACUUCCAAGCACACUAGCAUAAGGCACGUCCUUCAUUUGAGCUUUCUCAAAAUCUGAAUUAGGGCAUUGUGAAAGACUCAAUUUAUCACCCUUAACAACAUGAGCAAUUCUUGGUUUGCAAUCCUACAUAUUGAAUCUUUCUAAAACGCGAUCUAUAUACGCCUUCUAAGACAAACCCAAUGAACGGCGUGAGUGAUGAUAUUGCUAGUAUGAGUACCUAGAGGGGGGUGAAUAGGUGCCUAAACAAUUUAUCGAUAUACGGAAGCGAUUCUUAACAUAUGAUAGAAAGUAAAUUCUCUCUUAAUUAACAAAAUGAAAUACGAUCGAGGUAGAGAGAGUGAGGAAGAUAAAAUUGAACACAGGAUUUAUAGUGGUUCGGCUUAUUCCAAGCCUACGUCCACUCUUCCGCACUGACAGCCCACCGGCUGGAUUUCACUAUGAUCAAAAGAGAAGUUACAGCACAGCUUUGCCUUGAUUCCACAGUGUGGAUGUUCUACCACACCUCAUCAAGGUCGCUCACAAAUAUAGACUCUCUUUUAUAUACAAGUAUUCGCUCAAAGGAUUUAUCUAAACAAAUAGGAGCUUCAGAUCGCCCGUUGGGAACAUAGGUGAUCUUUCCGCUAGCCNNNNNNNNNNNNNNNNNNNNNNNNNNNNNNNNNNNNNNNNNNNNNNNNNNNNNNNNNNNNNNNNNNNNNNNNNNNNNNNNNNNNNNNNNNNNNNNNNNNNNNNNNNNNNNNNNNNNNNNNNNNNNNNNNNNNNNNNNNNNNNNNNNNNNNNNNNNNNNNNNNNNNNNNNNNNNNNNNNNNNNNNNNNNNNNNNNNNNNNNNNNNNNNGACAAUCAUCGAAUCUCAAUCAUUGAAUCAAACUUGAUCAAUCAAAGGAUUCUGAUACGUCUUCUCUAGCCACGAGAUCUUCUCCAGAUGAUAAGGUUAAAUCCUGAACAAAACAUCCAGUUCUGGAUAACCUUUCUUCAACGGAUUAGAGACUGUCAAUGAGGAUAGACUUUGAGUCUUGAGUCUGGCUGUCCGGAAGUCUUCAGACUUUAACUAACAGAGUCUGCAGACCUUCAGACUAGACCGAUGGAAACGUUUUGUCAACUUCAAAACACUUUCACUAAGAUUUCUCCAACAAUCUCCCCAUUUUUGAUGGUGACAAAACCUUCCUGCAGAUUUGGAUAAUUUUGACCUGCAAAACAUUUCUCAAACACAUAUGCAUAUCUUAUAGAGAUGAAUGGCUAAAAGAUUAACACUAGAAUCUGUAACUACAUAAAAUAGGUUAGUCUAGUAUAUAAUAAAACCAUCCAUAAGAUAUCAAUACUUGUUAAUAGAAGCAGUCAAGUCCAAGUCUAGUUCAGUUCUUAUCCAGACACAAAACAAAGUCAAAGUCUGUAAAAAAUAGUUAAACAACAACACAAUCCAACAAACAGUUAAAAAAUGAUUGAAAGUUUUUGAUCAAAUCAUGCAUCUCUCCCCCUUUUUGUCAUCAUUAAAAAGGAUGAGAUGAAGUCAAGAUUGCUUGGGAACGCGUACAAGCUGGAAAUCUUCCAUAGACUAAACGAUGCCUUCCAGCCUUUUAAAGUCUUCCUUCAGCUGUACAACCUCCUCACUCUUGGCAUUGGCCUGAUUCUGAAUAGAGAGGGCUUGCAUCUUAUCAUUCAAUGAACAGGAAGAAGCUUGACUUUCAUUCUUCAAACUUUGAACUUCGCAUCCCAAGGCAUAAAUUUGACCUCGCAUUUCCAAGAGAAUAUCCAAGAUUCUGCGAAAAUCUGCUCCAUUAUCAGUCUGAGUACUUGCUUCGGCUCGAUCUGAUGGAGUAAAAGCAGACGAUGGUGGAUCAGCAUAAUCUCGCAGGUUUGGCGAUGAAGCUUCAUGACCUUCCUCUGGAAAUUGAGAUGCAUAAACAUCUUCUGGGUCUGCAGGCGAGCGAUUGACUCCUUCACUUGCAUCAGGAAAUGAAGACGUCACUCCUUCUCCUGAUNNNNNNNNNNNNNNNNNNNNNNNNNNNNNNNNNNNNNNNNNNNNNNNNNNNNNNNNNNNNNNNNNNNNNNNNNNNNNNNNNNNNNNNNNNNNNNNNNNNNUACAUGUGGAGAAGAGAUUUCCUAGUCUUCCUGGUAUCAAUGCACUUUCUUCUUUAGGUCUUUCUUCCUCUGCUUCUUGCUCUGCUUCUCUUUCUUCUUCUUCCUUCUCCUCUGCUUCUCUUUCUUCUUCUUCCUUCUCCUCUGCUUCUUUUGUCUUUUGUUCCGAUUCUUUCUGUGGAACAGGACGACUUAAGUUCUUCAAAGCCAUUGCAGAGAUGGUGAUGUCUUCGUCAUCAUCUUCAUCCUCAACGAGGAGAGCUCUUCUUCUCUUUGAUGGAGCAGCCAUGGGCUCCUUCCCUUUUCUCUUAGCAGCAGAAGAGAGUUGAUGAGAUUUGGCAGGAGUCUUCUCCUUGAAUUUCUCCAAUUCCUUGCUCAGUUCCUUCAGACGCAUUUUGGUCACCAUUUUCAGUCCUACCACCAUAUGAUCGCAUGAUCGAACACAAAAGAUUUGCAGAGGCUGAAUAUUCAGAUGUCUGAAUAACUUCGUAACAAGGCUUGGGUAAGGGAGUUGACCUCUGUCCUUCAUCACUGCUCUAUACAUGUGAAACAUAACAGUAUGAGGGAGAGAAAACUUCUUUCCACAGAGGAUGGCAUACAUCAACUUUGCCUCAGAGCUUGAAACAUCAGUUUUGGAAGUUGAUUUCGGCCGAAGGCAAUUAAUCACAAUCUUGUGAAGCAAGAUGUUGAAUGCAUUCAUCCUUGAGUAGGUGAUCUUCUCAUCUGUUCUCCUGUCCUUCACCAGUUCAAGUGUGGCCCGAGCAAUGGAAACUUUGAUUGGUUGAUAUCUGUCUCUCUCAACUUCUAACACAUCUGCCAGCAUAUUCAUAUCCACAACAUAGUCUUGUUCUUUAACGCUAAAGGAGAAUCUAUUCGCAUCUAAAAAGCUAAGAUUUGAAUAGAAAUAUGCAGUCAAUUCAGCAUAAGCCUCAGUUGAGUCAGAGCAGAACUUUUCAAGUUGAAGAUAAUUGAACUUUUCCCUCAAGUUCACUUUCACAGCAUCCAGAAAAUCAAAGUCCACACUCCUAGGGUUUAUUACCCCACGCUUCAGCAAUUUCAAGUACAGAUCCUUUUGUUCCUUUGAUCUGAACAAAUCUCCCAUUUUUCCUUGAAUUUCAGCCGCAAUACCCAUUUUCGGUUGAAAUAGACUGAACAGAUUGUCAUCGUCAUUCCCAUCUACAGGAUUCGGCCCCCAGUCACGAGGAUCACUUGGGAUAUUCGCAAGGGUUUCCUCAGCCACUCCUUUACGAGCGAUUCCCAAACUUUCCAUUUUUCGCAGAAAGAUAUAUUCGUUCUUAUAUCCUUUGUCUUUAAGAAACUCAUCAACAUAGUUCAAAGGAGUACGAAUUCCUUUUAAGGCACGAUAUAGCUUGUAAAUAAAAGCGGGCUUUUGAACUCUUACGGGGUCUGCAUCCUCGAUGAUUUCUUCCUGAUGCUGAUGAACAACGCCUUGAGGACUAGAUGGAGGAGAAUGACGCUGCUGAGAAUGUUGUGGGCUCGGUUGCUGAUCUGGAGUAACUUCAUCUUUAGUAAGAUCGAAGUGCGUAGGCCCCUCACUCAUUCUCUGUGGUCCCCUGCUUGCGAUUCUUGAGGACUUUCGUGAAGAUGACAUCUUUCUCAGUGUUUGGAAGAUUCCUUGCUUGACUUUCCUAGAAAAGAUGACAACUUUUUGAAGAUUGAGCGAAGAAGACAAACGGGAAUGGAGGAUCGAUGCUUUCUAGGGUUUUUGAGAGAAAAGUGAAUAGAAAAGUGAAGAGGAAUCGACAGUGCACAAUCGGUUAAAAAGAAGAGUAAACGAACCGUCACAAAGGAAAUAAAAAUAUGCCUUUUCAAAAUAACUGUCUUUAUCCGCAAAAAUAGCUAUUUCAAAAAUAACUUCCCUUUUGAAAAUGAAUCGAUGCAAUAUUUACGUUAAUUAAAUAUAGCAACAAUUUAAACACAGUCUGAUGAUCGUACCUUUUCAAGAUAAGAUUGGAGAGAGAAAGACUUACAGUCUGAAGGUCGAGCCAAGACUGUAGAUAAAGUCUUGUAAGCCUGAGUCUGAAAGUCUUUAGACUUUGAUAUCCUCAUACCUUAAAAUGUUGAGUCUGGACCGUAUAGACUCAAAUUGAUUUUUCUCCAAAGGCUUUGUGAGUAUAUCAGCUAGUUGAUUCUUUGAGUCAACAAAUUGAAUUGAAACAUCUCUAUUUUGAACAUGAUCUCUAAUAAAGUGAUGUUGAAUCUCUAUAUGCUUUGCUCUUGAGUGGAGAAUUGGAUUUUUGGUGAGGUUGAUAGCGCUGGUGUUGUCGCAAUUAAUCUCCGUGCAUGAGUCUUCAAUUUCAAAAUCUCUUAGCUGUUGUUUUAUCCAUAGAAUUUGCGAACAGCAGCUUCCAAGAGCUACAUACUCUGCUUUUGUUGUUGAAAGAGACACAGUGCUUUGUUUCCUUGAAAACCAAGACACUGUCCUGCUACCAAGCAACUGGCAAGUUCCUGAAGUACUCUUUCUAUCAACUCUGCAACCGGCCAGAUCUGCGUCUGAAUAUCCCAGAAGAUUAAAGUCUCCCUUAUUAGGAUACCNNNNNNNNNNNNNNNNNNNNNNNNNNNNNNNNNNNNNNNNNNNNNNNNNNNNNNNNNNNNNNNNNNNNNNNNNNNNNNNNNNNNNNNNNNNNNNNNNNNNNNNNNNNNNNNNNNNNNCAGGUCUAGAGGCAGUAAGAUAAAGAAGUGAUCCAAUAAUGCUCCUGUACAGCUUUUGAUCAACUUUCUUUCCUUCUUCAUCUUUGUCUAUCUUUAAAGAACUUGACAUUGGUAUGUCGGUCUUUUUGCACUUUUCCAGUCCAAACCUUUUGACAAGAUCAUUAACAUAUUUUUCUUGAUAAAUAAAAGUUCAUUCCUUCAAUUGUUUUACUUGAAGACCAAGAAAGAAUGUUAACUCUCCCAUCAUACUCAUUUCAAACUCAUCCUGCAUAGACUUUGAAAAUUUCUUGCACAGACUUUCAUUAGAGGAUCCAAAAAUAAUAUCAUCCACAUAUAUUUGAACAAGUAAGAAACUUUUGUUUUCCUUCUUGAUAAAUAAAGUCGUAUCUACUUUACCUUUGACAAAACCAUUUUGUAUUAGGAACUUACUUAAUCUGUCGUACCAAGUCCGAGGUGCUCGCUUUAAACCAUACAAAGCAUUUUUCAGUCUGAAGACUGAGUCUGGCUUCUUUGGGUCUUCAAACCCUUGCCACUGGAGCGUAAGUCUCAUCAUAGUCUAUUCCUUCUUCUUGCGUAUAUCCCUUGGCCACGAGUCUUACUUUAUUUCGUACGACUUUUCCUUUCUCGUUCAUCUUGUUUCUGAACACCCAUUUAGCUCCAAUAACAGUUUUACCUUUUGGUUUGGAUGUCAAUUCCCAGACAUCAUUUAUGCUGAACUGUCUGAGCUCUUUUUGCAUAGCUUCAAUCCAGCUUUCAUCAGAUAAAGCUUCUUCUAUGCUCUUUGGUUCAAUUUCAGAAACGAGUGCCACAGCACUAGACUCUUCUCGCCUUUUGGAUCUGGUGCGAAUUCCUUCAUUAAUUUCGCCAAUUAUAAGAUCUUUGGGAUGAUUGGACUUAUGCUUCCAGUUACUUGUUGAUUUGUCUGGUUGAUGAUCUCUUUCUUUAUUUGGAUCUUCACUAACAACCUGAUGCUGGUUUUCCAGAGUCUGAGAUGCUUCUUGAGUUGUAGAAUUUGGAGGGUCUGGAGCAGGUUCAGACUCUUCUUGAUGAGUCUGACUUGAUUCAUCUUGCGUUGAGUCUUGAAAUUUGACAUUCAUUGACUCCUCUACAGACUGACUCUUCUUGUUAUAGACUCUGAAAGCUUUGCUUGAUGUAGAAUAUCCAAGGAAGAUACCUUCAUCUGAUCUUUCUUCAAACUUACCAACUCGAUCUUUUGCAUUUUUCAAUAUAAAACAUUUACAACCAAAUACAUGAAAGUAUGAAACAAUAGACUUCUUUUCUUUGAAUAACUCAUAAGGGGUUUUCUGAAGAAUAGAUCUUAAGAAGACUCUAUUGAUGAUAUAGCAUGCUGUUGAAACAGCUUCAGCCCAAAAUCGAGAAGAAAUUUUACUUUCAAUUAAAAGGGUUCUAGCCAUUUCUUGAAGAGAUCUGUUCUUUCUUUCCACAACUCCAUUUUGCUGAGGAGUAUAUGGAGAGGAAAACACAUGCUUAAAGCCAGAUUCAUCAUAGAAUUUUGUAAAAUCUUGAUUUUCAAAUUCACCUCCAUGAUCUGUUCUUAUACUAGAGAUAACACAUCCUUUUUCAUUUUGAACCUUUUUAGCAAAUUUUUCAAAAUAUGAAAAGGUUUCGGACUUACUUGCAAGGAAAUAUACCCAAGUAAAACGGGAGUAAUCAUCAACAAUUACUAGGCAAUACUUCUUACCCCCAAUACUCUGAGUUCUGGUUGGUCCGAAGAGAUCCAUAUGCAGCAAUUGUAGUACAUGAUUAGUAGAGACAUAAUUUAUUGGCUUAAAAGAAUUUCUUACCUGCUUUCCCAGAAUACAUGGAGUGCAUGAAUCAGUCUUUUGGUAUGGCAAUUUGGGUAGACCUCAAACAAGCUGCUUUGAUGAGAUUUUGGCUAAUUGCUUCAUGUUGACAUGACCAAGCUUUUUGUGCCAUAAGCUUGCUUCGUCUUGAAUUGAGAUAAGGCAUUGCGAUUCAUUUGGUUUCACAUCCAGAAGAUAGAUAUUUCCAUGUCUUCGACCCAUGAAAGACUGAGUAGAGUCUUUACUGAUUCCAGAACAUGUUCCUUAUUGAAAGAAGAUCUUGAAACCAGUAUCACACAAUUGACUAAUGCUGAGAAGAUUGUAAUUGAGUCCUUCCACUAAGGAAACAUUACUUAUUGUGAGAGUUCCAAUUUUCACGGUUCCAAAUCCCACAAUACUUCCUUUGCUGUUUCCUCCAAAUGAAACUUUUCCACCAUUUACUUGAGCAAGCUUUAUAAAGCAAUUUGAGUCUCCUGUCAUGUGUCUUGAGCAUCCGCUGUCAAGAUACCACUUUACCUGUUUCUUGACGGAGACCUGCAUUUAAAAUAAAGUCUCAAGCUUUCUUUGGUACCCAAAUUUUCUUGGAUCCUUUGGUGUUAGUAAGAUAAACAGUAUUAGCCCAUACUUUCUUAACAGGUUUCCAUAUCAUAGGACACUCUUUUUCAAAGUGAUCCGGACUGUUGCACUUAGAACAUCUGAGAGCAUUUCUACCUACAGGUUUUACAAAAACUUUCUUGAAGUGAUUUUUGUAAACCUCACUUGAAAGCCUUUUCUUAAUUCUUUCUUUUACUUUAGGAAAAUCAAUCAAGGGAAUUGUUUCUUCUGUCAUACCUAGACCAGACUUAUUGAAGUAAGGUCUUUGUGCUGAAAGAAUUUUCUCAAGUUUUUCAGACCCUAUAGAAAAUUUCUUUGAUAUAUUUGAUAAGUCUGUUUUUAAAAAAACAUUUUCUUUUAAAAGAUUUUCUUCAUUUUCUUUAAGAUUGGAAACAGACAAGUCUAGACUUUUAACUCUUUCUGCUAAAACAUUUUCCUUUUGUUUUAGAGUUGAGUUUUCUUUUUUUAGUUUGGAAAUUCUUUUGAGAGAAGUCUUAAGACUAAAGCAUAGUUCAUCAAUAUAUUUAGAAACUUUGACAGGAAUUUUAAAAUUACUUGCCUCAAAUUCACUGUCUGAGUCUGAUCCAGAGUCUGAGUCUGAUUGUGCCAUCAGACAUAGAUUGGCAUAUUCAUUAUCACUUUCUUCACACUCAGUAUCACUCCAGGUUUUAGCUUUGAGAGCUUUUCGAAAUUUUUCAGCUUUUCCUCUCUUCUUCUUCAGAAGAGGACAGUUGGGUCUGAUGUAUCCCUUUUUCUUGCAUUCAAAGCAGACUACAUCUUUAUUUGGUUCCUCAUCAUCAACAGACUUGGUCUGCUGUCUUUGAAAGCUUUGUUUCUUUGAGUUGAACCUUCUUCCUUUUCUAUUUAGUUUUUUGAAUCUUCUUAUCAUGAGAGCAAGCUCCUCAUUGUCCAUAUCAUCUUCAGAAUCUGUAUCAUCAGAAUCAUCAGUUGAUUUUAAUGCAAUGGAUUUCUUACCUUUUGGAUCUUCAUCUCCAUUGAUCAUUUCCACUUCAUAGGACUGAAGAGUUCCAAUCAGCUCGUCAACAGAUAGUGGCAUAAUUCUCUGCGUCUCUCUUAUCGAAGUCUUUAUGUGAUUCCAAUCCCUGGAGAGUCCACGCAGUAGCUUGUUUACCUUCAUGGGAUCAGAAGUUGGUUGACCUUGAUUCUCAAUACCAUUCACAAUAUCUGUAAAACGACUAAACAUGUCAGAUAUUGAUUCUCCUGGUUUCAAUAUGAAGGCUUCGUAUUGACCGAGAAGAAUGUUGAUUCUUGUUUCCUUCACUCGAUCUGUUCCUUCAUAGGUGAUAUGCAAUCUGUCCCAAACUUCUUUUGCUGUACCACAAGAAGAUAUUCUAUUAUAUUCAGUUGGUGAUAAAGCACAAUAUAAGGAGUAAAUUGCUUUUGCAUCGAGUGUUUGUCUCUUGAUUAUUUCUUCCUGAGACAUUCCGCUGGUUUCUUCAGUUUCUUUUCCUCUUUCAGAGACUGAUGCAGUGGUAGGAGUAAUUCCUUUUUCUACAACGUCCCAUUCCAGAGGAUCCUUUGAUCGUAGGAAAGCUUUCAUCUUGUUCUUCCAGAUGUUGUAAUCCUUUCCAUCAAAGUAGGGUGGUCUGGUAUUGCUUUGCCCUUCCAUCAGCCCUGGUGCUAGCAUACUAACCAUGGAUCUUUAACUCUGAAGUAAAACACUUCAAACAAUGUGAGUACACGAGCUCUGAUACCAAUUGAUAUAGCUAGUAUGAGUACCUAGAGGGGGGUGAAUAGGUGCCUAAACAAUUUAUAGAUAUAUGGAAGCGAUUCUUAACAAAAUGAAAUACGAUCGAGGUAUAGAGAGAGAGAGAAGAUUGAACACAGGAUCGAGGUAGAGAGAGUGAGGAAGAUAAAAUUGAACACAUGAUUUAUAGUGGUUCGGCUUAUUCCAAGCCUACGUCCACUCUUCCGCACUGACAGCCCACCGGCUGGAUUUCACUAUGAUCAAAAGAGAAGUUACAGCACAGCUUUGCCUUGAUUCCACAAUGUGGAUGUUCUACCACACCUCAUCAAGGUCUCUCACAAAUAUAGACUCUCUUUUGUAUACAAGUAUUCGCUCAAAGGAUUUAUCUAAACAAAUAGGAACUUCAGACUUUGGAAUUCUUCUAUCGCACACACCUCGAACAACUAAGAACGUCUUCCUUAUAUACUCCUUUAUGCCAUCAUACCCGUUGGCACUUACCAAAGGAAUUCCUCCAAUCUACCCGUUGGACGGAAUCAAUUAGGAAGAUUGUUCGAGCUAUUAAAGGAACGUGUUGAUAGCCUAUCAAUCCUGUUCGCCCAUACAAUCAGGAUCUCGGUUUCCAUAAGUAGAACCUUCCAAUAAUAUUUAGACAAUCAUUGAAUCAAACUUGAUCAACCAAAGGAUUCUGAUACGUCUUCUCCAGCCACGAGAUCUUCUCCAGAUGAUAAGGUUAAAUCCUGAACAAAACAUCCAGUUCUGGAUAACCUUUCUUCAACGGAUUAGAGACUGUCAAUGAGGAUAGACUUUGAGUCUUGAGUCUGGCUGUUCGGAAGUCUUCAGACUUUAACUAACAGAGUCUGCAGACCUUCAGACUAGACUGAUGGAAACGUUUUGUCAACUUCAAAACACUUUCACUAAGAUUUCUCCAACAAGUGAUCCCUAUGGAUCUCAAUGCCAAGAACAAAAGACGCUUCACCAAGGUCUUUCAUGUCAAAAUUUUACGAUAACAUCCACUUUGUCUCAUGCAGUAAACCAAUGUCACUACUAGCAAGCAAGAUAUCAUCUACAUAAAGUAUGAGAAAAAUAUAUUUCCUCCCACUAACCUUGGUGUAUAUACACUAAUCUACUUUGUUCUCAAUAAAUUCGAAUGAAGUAACAACACUAUGAAACUUGAAAUACCACUGUCUAGAAGCUUGCUUAAGGCCAUAAAUAGACAUUUUCAAUCUACAAACAAGCUUACUUGAGUUGUCUGCUACAAAACCUUCAAGCUGCACCAUAUAAACCUCCUCAUCAAGGUCUCCAUUGAGAAAAGUAGUCUUAACAUCCAUCUGGUGUAACUCCAUAUCGAAAUGAGCUACCAAUGGCAAGAUCACUCUAAAAGAAUCUUUAGAAGAAACUGGAGAAAAUGUUACUUCAUAAUCUAUUCAUUCUCUUUGAGUGAAACCCUUAGCUACCAAUCUGAGUUUAAACUUUUCAAUCUUUCCUUUGGUAUCCCUUUUAGUCUUGAAUACCCAUUUGCAGCCAAUAGGUUUACAACCUUCAGGUAAUUCAACAAGCUCCCAAACACCAUUGUGUUUCACAGAUUGCAUCUCAUCUUUCAUCGCAUCUAGCCACAAAUCUGAUUGAGGACAUAAGAUGGCAUCCGUAUAAGUUACUGGAUCAACAACACAACCAAUAUCAUAAUCAUGUUCUCCUAGGUAGACAACAUAGUCUGGUGGUAUAGCUGAACGUCUUUCUCUAGUUGAUCUUCUGAGUGGAGCUACUUCAACCUCAUUCUGAAUUUGAGGAGCUUGAGGAAUUUAAUAAGGAACUGUCUCAACAAUAGGAUCUUGGGCCACAACAGGCUCAGUUUGUGGCGCAAGAGGCUCUAUAAUUUUCUGCACAUGAUGAAACAGGGAUCCAAUAAUCCCCACCAUACUAUCAUCUUUGAUAGCUUGUGAGUAGCUACCCUUUUUCAGCUACAUCAAAUUCUGGAAAUUUUGCAGUCUGAGAUUCCACAAUUCUUGUACCCCCAUUAGGGUUAUAAAACCGAUACCCCUUUGAAUGAUCUGGGUAAGACACGAAGUAACACUGAGUAGUUUUGGAAUUUAGCUUACUUAAUGUUGGAUUAUAUAACUUCACUUCUGCUGAACAUCCCCAAACUUUAAGAUGAUUCAAGCUAGGUUUACGUCCAGUCCACAACUCAAAAGGAGUCAAUGGAACCGCUUUGGUAGGAAUGUGAUUUAGAAUAUAAAGAGCUGUUUUCAAAGCUUCACCCCACAGAAAAUUAGGUAAAUUGAUCCUACUACUCAUAAUUCUCAUCAUGUCCAUAAGAGUACGAUUGCGCCUUUCAACUACACCAUUUUGUUUAGGACUUUCAGGCAUAGUAAACUGACUUAUUAUCCCAGAAUCCUCUAGGUAUCUAGCAAACUACCCUUUAAGUUGUCCAGCAUCUCCGUGCCUACCAGAAUACUCACAAACACGAUCAGAUCUGACAAUCUUAAUAACUUUUCCUAACUGUUUCUCCACUUCAGUCCGAAAAAUCUUGAAUUUAUCAAGAGACUCGGACUUUUCUUUAAUCAAAUAUAAGUAUCCAUAUCGGGAAUAGUCAUCAAUAAAUGUGAUGAGAUAAAAAUUUAUGCAUAAAGUAGCCGUGUAUGGUCCACUAAUAUUAAUGUGAAUAACCUCCAACAAGUUUGAACUUUGUACGGCGGAUUUCUUCUUUAUCUUAGUCAUCUUACCUCUGCAACAGUCUACGCAAGUCUCUUGAUCAUCUUUAAGAGUAGGCAAGAUAUCAGCCUUUAUAAGCCUUUCUACUCUUUCUUUAGAGAUGUGAUCAAGACGUUUAUGCCACAAUGCAUAAGAUUGUUCCUUAGGUAAAGGCCUUUUGGAAACAACUUUUUCGACUAAAUAAGCAACGUACAUGUCGUUAGGAGAUAAACUCAAUCGGUAUAAUCCAUCGGAUAAAUUGUUACACCCAAUCUUAUUUGAAUCAUAAAACAUGGAAAUAGUAUUACUCUUUAUUUCAAAAGAGUAUCCACACAUGUCCAAACAAGACACAUAAACUAAAUUCGCCUAAAAGAAUGUAUGUAAAAAGUGUUUCUUAACACCAUCCAAACACCAGAAUCUAAAAUCAAAAUAACAUCUCCCACGAACUCGACGUCAACUCUAACGCUGUUUCCAACAGUGAGCAUUGAUUCAUCCUGAUUUGGCAUCCUUCGGUUUAUAAACCCUUGUAUGGUAAAUGUAACAUGAUUAGUUGCACCACUAUCUAGCCACCAAGAAUUGGUCGGAACUUCAGAUAAAUUGGAUUCAUAAACAAAUGCCAAAUAAUCAUUACCUUUAGGCUCACUCUUAGUUCUCUUAGACAACCAAGCCUUAAACUUGCUGCAACGUUUCUUUACAUGUCCUCUCUCCCUACAAAAGUAGCAAUAAACACCAUUCUUCUUGGUGAAUGUUUUCUUGGGACCCAAACUGUUAGAAGGUCCAGCAUCUUCAGAAUUUCCUUUAUUGUUGGAAGAUCCAGCAACUUCAGAAUUGCCCUUAUGAGUAUAAGUUUUCACAUUCUUUCUCUUAUCACUACCAGAGUUAGAAGCAUAAAGGGCAACGUGUCCUUUAUCUUUCUUCAAUUUUUCUUCCUCUGCCACCAGCCUUGCAAUUAGGUCAUUAACUGACCAGGUUUCAUCUUGGGAACUAUAAUUGGUCUUGAUAAUCCCAAAAUCAGGAGGAAAAUCAUUUAGAGCUUGAUGCACAAUGCAAGUAGUGGGAAUACAACAUUGAGAGCUUCAAGCUUUGUCUGCAAAUCUAUCAUUCUCAUAACAUAAUCUCUAACUCCACCAGAACCAUCAUACUUCAUAGUAAAUAGUGUUUGCAUGCGUGUUCCUAUCUCAGCAUUAUGUGAGACACGAUUUCUAGCCAUCAAGGCUUCCAUCAUCUGCCUAGCAGUGCAGUCUGCAGGCAAACCACUUUUCAAGUGUUCCUAAAUGGAACGCUUCAUCGACAGUAAGCAAAUUCUAUUGCUCUUUUCCCAGGCAGUAAAAUGAGAUUUCUGAGCUUCUGUACUCUCAGCAGUAAGAUCUGCCGGCCGAUCGACAGUAAAAGCCAUAUGAACAUCUGCUAUCUCCAUAGCAAACAGAAAAUCUUCUCUACAUUUCUUAAAGUUUGAACCAGUAUGAACCUCAAUAGUGACGGAGUUACCGUUUACAGAAAAGGUGACUAAAAGACAAGCAGUAUAUAUAAUUAGCAUCAUGUGAGCAUUGUGUAACUUGACGUACAAGUACAUGUCCAGAGAGUUACAUGCAAAAUCACAUAAUCACCUUUGGACAGAAUACAUGACAUGCAAUUGUACACUCCCCACAUGAUAGCAGUUAUGAGAAUAUAUUACAAUCUUCGUGAAUUCAUCACUUUUGGGAAUAUGAACCAUUAGGAUCGGUCACUCCUCCACCAUAUCAUCAUGUAUCCCUCCAUGAACUAAUACACAAUCACCUCCUUUGGGAGUAUGACUAUGCAUUAGACCAGAAGAUAUCCCAAUCAAUAUACAAGAUCGAAAUUUCUCAAACCCAAUCAAGUGUGCCACUUUGGCGGUCACAACUUAAUUGAAUCCUUGAAACUCUCUCAUAUCAGGGAUAUAAUCUUUACAUCUCACAUACAUCAUAUACAUGUGAUUUAACUUUAGUGAAAAGGGCAUCAUAUCACUUAAAUCACAUGACAUGCUAAUUACACUGCCUUAUUCAUUAAUAAAAUACAAUAAAGUUUAAUUUUUUUAAUAAAUCACACUUUUAUAAUAUUUAUGUGAUAACAUACCAGUAACCCAACACAUGUAUUUCCAAAAACACAGAAAAUACAAGAAAAAUACGCAAAAAUACACUAAAAAUUCACUUAUUUAGGGCUUUGUAUGUAUUUUCACAUCCAUAAAAUCAUCAAACAUGUAAAAUAAAUACACCACAAGAUAGAACAUGGCAAUGCGAAUCCAACGCCACCAACCACGCACUAAACAGAUACUCCACGCGCCCACAUGUGCCGCCUGAGUGCUCGGCGCGUGGAGCUCACGUGCAGUGCAUGUUCGACGCCCAGGAGGCGCGUGGCCGCGCGUGGGGGCGCGUGCGGCCUCCUCCGGCGACGCGCCGCCCACGGUUCUCUUCGUCUCGUCGAGCCCAGUCCGAAUAUAUAAUUUAAUUUAAUUUUUAUUGAACGAAAAAUCUCAAAAAUCUCAAAUUAUGGCAAAAUCAUUUGCGUUCAUGUUCUAGGGUUAUGGAGGCUCUGAUACCACAUGUAGGACGCAAACUGCGUAACCCCAAAAUCUUUAUAAGUAGAACAAGAACAUGCAUAAUUGAGUAGAAAGAUUAACGCACCUGUAUUGGGAUCCAUUGUUCUUGAAGUGGAAGCAGAAACACAAUGUUCCACACGCAAGUCCUUCUCCUCUAUUACUCUUCGUAUGAUUGGCUCAAUGAGGCGGCCCUCCUCACGUGUAGCGUUAGGUAAAUGCCCCUUAGGUGAGGAUACAUGUGAGAAUUAGGGUUAGAGGAGAGACUUUAGCACUAUUUAUAGAGUUUCCAACCAGGCCACCUCAUUACGGGCCAGGCUCAACUUGGCCCACACUAGCCAGCCCAAUAUUAGACUAAUUAAGAAAUAUUCUAUCUCACCUUAGACCAGCCAUGUUUUACGGUAGCCGUAAAAAUAGUAAAUUACAAUAUCAAUUAAUGUAGUUCACAUUAGGAAAAUUCUUACAAUAUAAUUAUCGAAUUGCUACUUAAAAAAAGAAAAAAGGAAUCACGUGAAGAAAGAAAAGUCCAUGUUUGCAAACGUCUGUGCUCUUGCAUUUCGCCUUCCGCACACGAAGGUCCGGAGGGCGGCGCCUAGGACGCCAAGAGACCAUUAAGCCCUCGGCUCUUCACCUCGGCCAAGAAGUCAAGGGGAGGGUAAUUAUGGGAUUUCCACCUCCUAAUUCCUCCCCCCGACCCCCAAAAAGAAAAAAAACAAUCACGAGGUCAAAAGUGGGGAAGACAAUAAUGUUUGACGGCGGCGCUUGGUUGGAAUCUAAGAAAAAGAUAUUCGGUCUGCCAAUGACAGAAGGCACUUCAUUCCAACGAAUCUUGUUACUUAAUUGUAAUUUUUAUUAAAUACAUCAAGAAAAGUACGGUAUCAAUUGAGAAUCCGCAUAUCUACCACACUAUCAAAUAAAUGUCAACCCAAACUUAAAAAGAUCCGACCCAAACCUAAUCCUAUGAUGCUCUUGAUCAUCAAGUGAAAAGAUUCAUACGAAAUAAAAAAGAAAAAAAAGAAAAACAAGUGCAACCCUGAGACAAACAAUACGAUAAACUUUUGUGUUAUGCAUUGCAAUAAAUUUCAUCAUCGAUUAUUAAACAAAAUACAAGACCAAAAUCUGAUUCCAACUGCAUAACUAGAUGGAGCUUUCAGAUUCACAUUAAGGCAAAGAGGAGACACCAUGAAGCUUCCCACAAUCAUAUUUUGUAAUACCUUUCACCACUCUACCCAAGAGGAGCCCAUAGAAUACAUCUCUUAGGAACCUCAUGAAUCGACUAGACCCAUCUUGUUGCACCCAUCCCGACAAGUACGAUGCUGUUAUCAGUGUCGCCACCCUCCAUCUCCUCUCCUUUGCGUACCCCUCUAUAGCAAGAGGAGCCCAUAGUUUGCCGUGCUCGGCAAUGGAGUUCCCGAGGUGCCUACCCAAUGCCACCGCAUCCUCGAGAGCCGAACAUCCCCCCUGGCCCAAGUCGGGAGUCAUCGGGUGCAUAGCGUCUCCAGCCACCGUGACAUUUGAUCGAACUAGGUUGCCGAACAGGAUGUCCCAAGGAUAUCGGAACAUCAGUGGCGCCCAUGUCAAACUUGAAAGGUCAGAGUGCUUGACGACAUCGAGGUACACGGGUGGGAAGUCCUUCGCCAAAUUUUCCAUCACCUCCCUUUGUAUAAUUUCUGGAUCUGCUCCUUUUUCCACACCUUUAUAAAUGGAAGCGUUAGGGAUCGGGGAGGAUUAGUAAGCUAGUAUUGAAGGAGCCAUCGUGGUUGGGAAUCUCAGCAGAAGAUAAAAUGUAAUAUACAUGGUACCUUUAGGAGGACACGUGGCCACAAAGAACCAAUACAAUUCCUUAUCAUUGAGAGCAAUAAAACCUGCCCUCUUGCCCACAUCCACAAAUUGUUGAAGCGCAUGGCCAUGAUCAAAACCAUGACCUUUCGGGAACACAGACAACCCGCGCACUGCCACCGGCCUGAAUUGACUGGCGGGCGAAGUCCAAGCCAACGGGCCACGAUAGAGUGCACGCCAUCACAUCCUAUAACAACCUACAUGUAUAAUAUUUUCAGUGUGGAUAAGUUAAAGUGGAUAAGUUACCUCAUCAUAUUUGAAUUCAAAAGAAGGUUCUCUAGAAAUUGUAGGGAACCUUAGACUUUAUGAUGGUCCCAUCAUCGAGCAUGACAAUACAAAUGGACAAGCCGUGUUCUACUUGGGUUUCGAUGGAAGUUAUCUUGGAAGAGAAUCGAAUGCUAUUUGGAGGAAGCUCCUCCGCCAGAACUUCCAACAAGACUUUUCGAUGGACUGCUCUUGGUUGGGCUCCAUUCCUGCUCAAUCCAGAUGGAAUGAUUUUCUAUCCUUGGAAUACGAAAUGACAUGCAUAAAAUAAUAACAUUUGUUGUGGGAGAAAAAAAACAGUCGAAGUAUAAGAUAAACAGGACAAGAAAAUAAAUUGAAUAUUGAAUUUAUUUGACUCAAUCAGUAAGAUCUACUCCACACGAAAAAUGGCACAAGACCCACUAACGAAAAUUAUAAUUACAAUUAAAUUAUUUAAAUACUCCCAUUAUUCUCUCAAUGGGGGUUGCUCUUCACGAAAAAGACUCCUUAUAUAGAAAAGAAUUAGAUCCAAAAUACGAAAUUACCUAGUUGGAUUGAGUUCUCUUUAUGAGUCUCAAAUUCUAGACAUAUUUUCAACAACAUAAUAGAAUAAAUUACCCAAUUCUAUCUAACAAAAGGAGUAUUAUAUUUUCAAACUCUAUUAUUGAAGAUCUUCCUAAAAGAUGAGUUGUCAAAAUAGGGGCUAUUAGUCCCAUUCAUGGUAUAUUUCCGACGGUCAUUUGUAUCAUUUUGUGCAAAAUAAAACAUAUAGUAACCAAUUACAAGAAAUUAAUCAGUCUGAAACAUUAAACGGUAAAUUAAGGAAACAAAGAUGAUGGAAAGGUAGGUAGCAUAUAUGAGAGGAAAUUUGAGAUUCACCUGUUGCCUGGAUAAUGCACUUCUUGAAUCGAUUUAGUCUUGACAUCAGUUAUGUAUCCCCUGAACAAGUACCAAAAAAAAAUAAAAAUUAAUAAGUAAAAUUAUUUUCUUUCAUCAUUGAGAAAUUGUAGGACAGAUCAAGGUCCAGCAUCCUGGAUCAAUAACCGAUUUAAGAAGCUCCCAAAACGGGCGAAUCCUAAAAUCAAUUUAACAAAGUACAAAACCAAUGUAGAGCUUAUCUUUCUAUUCAGUAUAUCUUGCUUGAAAAGCCUAUUGCUCUUUCUCACUGAUAUUGCAGUUUUUCCCUUCAUUUGAUGAAUAUCUAAUUAGUUAUUUUAUUCUAAGCACUAAUCGCAUUAGCAACCUCAAUAGGCAAAUUUCACGGUGCACUUUACAAUUGGCAAUGAUCUCAAUUUUCAUGAUUUUUUCCCCAUGGAAGAUGUAAAACCACUUUUUGACCAAUUUUUUUAAUACCUAACGAACAUCGUUUGCAAAUAACCCAAAAAAAAAAAAAAUCAUUGCAUUAAAUGAUCGAAAUGAAAGUUCAUGAACUUAAUUGCAUCAUAUGAAGAUCUACUCACUGCGAUUGAAAUGCGUUUGGAUUUUUUUAACUACUUUUCACUAUAAAAGUGAUUUACUUUUAGUUGGUUUUAUCCCCAACGAGCUAGCACAAGAUUAGGCGUAUUUAACAUCUUCUAAAAGAUGCUUACACUAAUUCAGCAUUCAUCAACUCUGAGUGCUGUCAUCUUUCAUAGCAGAGAAAUCACUCAUUUAACUCUCGAUCUGUACAUGAUUGUUGAACUAAAGAUUAGAUCGAGUUUUAAUACUUCGAAAUGAUAAAACAUUCUACAAUAAUCAGACGUCUAUUUUCAAGUGCAAAGAGCGAACAAGGACCUCACCUUUUCAGAGGAGCGUACAGGGCAGCGAGCUUGUCCGAAACGCCGAGUGCAUCGAGCGCAACCCACGCAUUAGCAAAGAGACCGAGAGCCGCACCGGUCGUUCGGAGCUCCUCCGAUCUCUCAAGGACGAGGGCUCGGACACCGACCUUCUUAAGGGCCACUGCCGUCGCCAGACCUGCGAUGCCGGCACCGACUAUCACCACCUCCUCCAUGGUCGUGUUCUACUUCGAGCUUGUUGAGUGUGCGCACGUGUGCUUUUGGGAUAAGUAGUCUCUUAUCUUGCGGUCCCUAUUUAUGGAGUGGCAAACUUGUCGUCUUUUGAUAGCCACGUCCCUGCUUACGAAUGCUACAGAAGCAUUGAAUGAAAAUUACAGCCACAGAAUGGGGGGCAAUGAUUGAAUGAAACGUGAGCCAUUUCCAGAAAAUUUCGGCUUUUAUUUCAAAAGGAGUGAAAUUAAAAUUUCCAACCUGAAUAUAGACUUUUCAAAUUCAUUUGUUUUUCCAGAUUCUCUUCGGUUCUUUUCUUUACUUUAUUAAGCUUUCGCUAUUGUAAGGUGGAUUUGAACUUGCUUUGUUGGGUUUAGCCUUGUGACAUCCAUAAGUUUAAAACGUGUACCUUUUUAAGCUGUAAAUUGUCUGAUUGACAGUAAGAUUUUUCAUAUUUGCCAAUUUUGAGCUUGGUCUUUAUUAAGGAGUCUUACGUGAGGGGGCUGGCUUUCAUUUAACAAAUUUUUAGUGACAUUUUGGAUACUUCAGUUGCAGCAACUUUUUUUGGGUGAAAAUUCCAGCAGCAACGUCAGUGUUUGCGUCAAAUGCCCAGAUUGACCAAAUGUCCUCUCUUGACCACUCUUUACGAUCGACUAGUCGUCCUCUAUCAUAUCCACUAGAUUUUCACGAUAUUACGAAACCUCCUAACAUAACACAUAUCCGCUAGUCAACUCAAUUAAUCAUAAUUCUCAAGUGGGCAUCAAUAUAGCCUUUUAAAACAAUAGGAUAUUUGUCUUCUUACAUAACAUAGUCUUUACUUUUUUUUUAGAUAAUCUAACACUUUCAACAGAGCAGUCCAAUGCUGGUAACCAGGAUUACCUAUAUAUUUACUCAAUAUUCCUAUUGAGUAUGCUAAAUUUAGUCUAGUGCAAUUCGUGAUAUACAGAAUAUUGUCGAUUACUUGAAAAUACUCUAGUUGCCUAAUAUUGUUUUUAGUAUUCUUUCUAAAAGUUAUGUGUGGAAUAUAAGGAUUAUCUGCAUAUUUGAUUAGAACCUUUUAACCUCUCAAUUCAUUUUCAAUGUAAUGAGAUUGUGUUAAACCUAGACCAUCGUGAUUCCAACACUUUUUUCAUAUCGAACCACAGUAUUGGACUUUUCGUUGAUGCAAAAAAAAUUAGGCAUGGUCAAAAUAUAGUCAAAUCUAGAUUAAAAAAAAAACACAAAAUCAAUCUUAAAUUUUUUUACCAAUUAGAUGGUUUUCAUCACCUGUACAGCAACAACACACAAGAUGUACAAAUAGUAGAGAGCUAUAGAGAAAGACAAACUGAAAUUGUAAAAAGAUCGUAAGCUUUUGUUCAAUAUUAUUGUCUUGCCACACUUAUGCAGACCACCAUCUUUAUUUAUCGUCAAUGGAUUUUAGAUUGAUAGUGAAGUUUCAAGAAAGAUGGAUAUGAAGCUAUGUCAACCCUCUUUAAAUACAGAUAGAUCAAUGAGCAAGGUAAUAUUUUUCAAUUUUGGAAGAUCGUGAAGUACCAACUUUUUAAGACUUUGAAGUGUUCUUGGGUCCAUACAAGAUUUGUCGAAUACAAUGAAGAUAUCCUCAAUUUCGUAGCACUUUUCGACAUUCAAACGAGAAAGUUGGAUAGUUGCUCAGUCAAACCAUUUGAAAAUAUAUUUUUUGGCUUAGGGCAAUUGUACAAGGAUAUGACCGAUAAAAAUUUUCCCAAACUUAGGUAAAAAAAGCAAUAUUAUUAUUGUUUUGAAAUCAAAUCGCAUUUUUUAAACAAUCGGGUUAGGAGCUUUUUGUAGGGGUAAAAAUCAAGAGAUGUUGAACGGGAAAGUUAGGCCCAGCCAAAUAUGGUCAACUUUGGGUAAAAAAAUAGAUAAAUAUUAUUUUAAUUUUACCAAAUUAAAUAAUUUAACCGGCCAUCCGACCGCUCAUGAAGUUCUCGAGGACUUGGCGAUACAGCAUGUUCCUAUACAUUUUUUAAAAUCUCUGCAUGUCCCUAACAUUUUUCUUGGAUAAAGCUAAAUUUCUGAUGUCCUUUCAAUUCUCUCUCUAGCUAUUGAAAUAUCGGCAAGAGAUUCACAUUGAUUCUACAAUUUAACUUGGCAUGGAUGAUGGUCGAGGAGGUCGUCAAGCAACUGUAGGCGAACAUGGGAUCGAGCUAAAUUUCUAAUGUCCUUUCAAUUCUCUCUCUAGCAAUUGAAAUAUCAGCAAGAAAUUCACAUUGAUUCUACAAUUUAGCUCGGCAUGGACGAUGGUCGAGGAGGUCGUCAAGCAACCGUGGGCGAACAUGGGAUCGAUCUCAUGAGGCGGUACUUAUUGGCUACAAUGUCGGAAGAUACGAAGGCAGCACCAAAAUGGAUUGAGCUGUAGCAUCUCCAGAGUCCCACACUUUGUCAGAGGAAAUGACGGGGCGUGCCGACCCUGCAUCAUCUCUAUUGGCCCGUAACAGCACGGGCAAGGCAGAAGCAGAUGCUUCAAGAGCACGAGAGGAGAUAGCUCCACGCCAUGCUAGACCAAACUCAACCACACCGCCUCGAGGACCUCAUCAACACAGUGGCGCCGAAAGUGGAAAUGAUCCGGCAAUGCUACUCGGAGAGCACCCGCGGCUUCAGGACCUGAUGUUUUGAAAAUGGGGGUUCUGAUGGAUGCCUCAUCAUUCAGUUCCAAAGGGCAGGGAUUGUACGGACCGAUCCCCAUUAAGAAAUUACUGUACGGACCUUCUUUGGUCUGAGAACCAUGUCCCGUACUUUGUUCGGGAGGAUUCGUUCGAAACAACUAAUGUUCUGAAAAGAGCCUUGUCUUUGGCCCAUCUUGCCUUCUAGUUUCCUCCUAUUUUUGAGAAACUUCAUGUUGAAUGACAAGUCGGUUGUUAUAGAAAGCAGGCCCUAAAAGAAAGGUAAGGUUGGGUUCGGUUUUUCACAUUUAUCCAGCAGACAAGAGCUCAUUAUCUUAUCAGAUUUGCUUUGCUUCUAAGCUCUGUUGAGUGGGAAUUGGAUUCAAGCAGAGAGAAGCCGACCCUUCUUGGAGAUCAAAUUUCACCGUUGGAACCAUUCGAAUUCCAAAAAUAACAAUUGAUGAUCACUUCAGUUGCAAACUCACCAAUAUGGUUGCUUUUGAAGAGUGUCGUGGCCAAAUGCACAGGCACAAUAUUGCCUAUGCUGUGCUCAUGAGAUGCCCCAUUCACACGGCCAAUGAUGUACAACUUUGCUUUUGAAGAGUCGUGGCCAAAUGGCCAAGCACAAUACUGCUUAUGCUACGUUCAUGAGAUGUCCCAUUCCCACAGCCAAUGAUGCAUGACUGUAAAGCCAUCUUGCAUUACGGCUUGAGCAACGAGGAUGUUGCAUGCUUCUUCUUCAAUAAUGACAGCAGGACGCUGAUUUUGACCUCAACAGUAGCUAUCAAGCGUGGCACUUUGCAAUUUUAAACAAAUUCCUUAAAUAUGAACGGGCUUAUUGUUACUGCACACGACUCUGCUUUUCAUGAUAAUGACGGCCCAUGGUCGUGAAAGGAAUUGAGGAAGACAAGGGAACAGCAAGAAGAAUAGAUUUUAGGGGAAGAUUUUCUGUAUCUCUUUCAUUAAUUACUAAAGUGUAUAGAGCUCUGUAAUUAUAGUACUUGAUGUAUACAAACGUAGGGAAAGAAAAUAUCCCAAGAAUCAAAUCUAAUCUUUGAUUGAUAUAAUAAAUCAAUCACAUCUCGAGCAUAUCUUCUAACACUCUCCCUCAAGCUGGUGGCUUAUAGAUGUCCAAGACACCUAACUUGCUUAAUAGAUAUGUGUGUUGUCUUUGACAUAGGGGUUUGGUGAAAACAUCUGCCAAUUGUUAUGUGGUUCCAAUCCGCUUUGUCUCAAUUAUUCAUUCUUGAAUCUUGUCUCGAGUAAAAUGGCAAUCCAUUUCUAUAUGCUUCAUUCUUUCAUGCACUAUAGGAUUUGUUGCAAGUUUGAUAGCUACAUCAUCGUCACAAAAUAACUUGGUUGGUCCCUUUACUUGCACCCCAAAAUCCCAAGGCAAACCUCGUAUCCACACUAUCUCGCAAGUGGUCUUUGUCGUGGCUCGAUAUUCUGCUUCAGCUGAAGAUAAUGAGACGGUUGGUUGCUUUUUUGUUUUUCACGAAAGUAGAGAUUCCCCUAAUUUAAUGCAGAAACCUAUGAUAGACUUUCAGCGCAUGAGAUAAGUCACAUAAUCUACAUCACAAUAAGCUGUCAUUUCCAUGUUGCAUUUCCUAGAAAGAAGUGUCCCAAAUCCUAGGCAUUUCUUCAAGUACUUUAUGACCUUUGGAGCGGCAUUCAUAUGGGAUUGCUUUGGACUAUGCAUGAACUAACUGAGAGUUUGGACUACGUAACAUAAAUCAAGUCUAGUCAUGGUCAAAUAUAUAAGUUUUCCAACGAGCUUCUAAUAACUCGACAGAUCUCAAAGUAUAGGAUCAUCAUCUUGAGAUAUUCCCACAUCGUAAUCUAUCAUAGUUAACUUUGUGUUUUGCUUAAUUGGAAUAAUAGCCAGUUUGCAUCUUGAUAGACUUUCUUUAGAUACAAUCUCCAGUACAAACUUUUGUUGGCUGAGAGAAAUCCCUUGAUUGGAUUGGGUAAUUUCAAUUCCAAUGAAGUAUUUAGGUGAUCCCAGAUCUUUUAUAUGAAAAGUGGAAUGUAAAUACUCCUUAAAGCUCUUUAUGGCAGUUAUGUCAUUUCCCAUAAUAAGUAUAUCAUCAAAAUAUAUCAUCAAGAAGAUGGAUGACAUACAUUUUGUCCAUGUGAAUAAGGCAUAAUCAUAUCUAGAUUGCCUGAAACCUACAGCUACAAGAGCAUUGGCGAAUUUGGCAUACCAUUGCCUAGAGGCCUCUUUGAGGCCAUAAAGGGAUUUUCGGAAACGACAUACCCUAUUCUCCCCUUGUCUUUGUAAUCCUUGAGGAAGUUCCAUAUAAAUUUCCUCAUCCAAAUCACCAAUGAAGGAAAGCAUUAUUGACGUCCAUUUGGUGUAAUUCCCAAUCAUGAAGAGUUGCAACUGAUAAGAAUGAACAAACUAUGACAUCCUUGGCCACUAGAGAAAAUGUCUUAUGAUAGUCGAAACCUUCCCACCGUGUGAAACCUUUAGCCACCAAUCGAGCCUUGUAAUAUUCAAUAGAGCCAUCUGCUUGAUACUUGAUUUUGUACACCCACUUGCAUCCAAUUGGCUUUCGGUGAGGGCUCCCAUGUUUGAUUUUUUGCUAAGGCCUGUGAUUCUGCUUCCAUAGCUUUUUGCCAUUGUGGAUCAGUGGAUGCCUCAUCAUAAUUAGAGGGUUCUCGUUCUUCUGAUAUACAGUUGAUGCAACACCUAUGUCCUGGAGAAAGUUGAUCGAAAGAAAUAUAGGAUAAGAUUGGGUAAUUAAUACUUGGUAAGUUGAAUGUAGCACAAACAUAGUCUUUAGCCCACGUUGGUGGACGUUUGGGGUGCCCGAACCAUGGAGGAUCCUGCAAUUGGUGGAGAGGAUGAUGGUUCAUCAUUAGAAGACCUUGGUAAAGAACUGGAAGCUUCGUCAAUGGGCAUAUUAGCAAUUGCUUGUUCUCAUGUUGAAACUGGAGCAAUAUUCUCAUCUGGAAUUGGAGCGGGUGCUGAAGGCAUAGUCAAAACAUACUUUGAAUCUGCAGAUAGUGCAUCCUCAAAUAAAAAUUGACGAGAAUCCCCUCGGUUGCGUGAAUCUUAACAGCAGAUUUUCAUGAAACAGGAAGAUGUCCUCAUGGAAAGAAACAUCCCUCCUUAUGACGAAUUCACCUGUGGAAGUCUCAAAGACAUGGUAUCAUUUCUUUAAAUUUGGAUAUAUCAUAAAUAUACUACUCUGGGCGUGGGGACCCAUUUCAGCUGUCAAGGAUUUGAGUGGGCAUGCGACUGAUCAAGUAAAUAGCCGUGACCACUCAAUCUCCCUAAAAGGUUUUUGGAAUGGAGGCUUGGAAUUUUAGUGCACAUGCAACUUCCAAAAGAUGGCGAUGUUUGUGUUCCACCACCCCAUUUUGCUACGAGGUGUAGGUCCAGGAACUCUCAUGUAGGAUGCCAUGAGAUGAGAAAAGAGAGGGGCAAUGAUUGUUGAAAAAUUAUUUCCCAUUAUCAAUGUGACUGCGCUAAAUAGAUUUCCCAAAUUGGUUCUUUGAUAAGGAAAUGAAUAAUAUUAAAUGGGUGAAAGCUUGAUGUUUUGACUGCAUCAGGAUAACUUGUGGCACGGGAGUAAUCGUCCACAAUUGUCAGAAAAAAAUGAAACCCAUCACGAUGUGGUGUGUAAUAAGGUCCCCAAACAUCAACAUAAAUUAAUGAAAAAACAUCACUAGCACGAGUCUUGCUAAAUGGAAAGGGAACACAUGAUUGCUUUGCAAGUGGACAAAUAUGGCACUAAAGAUAAGAAAAUAAAGCACUAUGGCCCAUUCUAGAAUGUAUAAGAAAAUUUCUAUCAUUGGUAGUCAGGUUACACAAUGAUUGUUUAUUCAAGGAAAUGUGAUCACUAGCUUCUAAAUCCAAGCAUUUCUCGAACUAGAAUUUAUCAAGUAAUGAGAAAUACCUGAGAAAUUUCCCCCUUUGUUAGAAGUGCCCAAAUUCUAUAAUGCUUGCAUAAGCCACUGAUAUUGUCCAUACAUGAUGGGCUAAUUAGCAUUUGGACCGGUUGGCCCGGUGACCUGGUAAGCAGCUAAAAUUUCUUUUUCCAUCUUUCCCUUCUCUCCAGGUUUACCAUGCAAUUUCUAGCAAUUAUCGAUAGUGUGAUGUGGACGUUUGUAAUAUUCACAAAAUAAUUUACAUUUUCCCUUUGAGUUCUACCCAAAAUUCUUGGAUGACGUGGCAAAGAUCUAGCCGUUGGACACCUUAUUUCUGCUGCCGUAUCUACUGUCCAAUUCUGGAGAAGGAUCGGCCAACCAUAAGCAGUUUAAUCACUAGAUGCAAUCUGAGCUAUCCAUGGCUUGCCUUUUAAGGGUUCUUGUUUCAGCAAACCCUAAUGCCACACCCUUUCCUUCAUUUAGGUUUUUGUACACAACCUCUCUCCAUUCACGACGAGCCGCGAGCGUGAUCCUAUCAGCUCCUUUCGCGUACUCCAGCGAAGUAAGCCGUUGGCUUUCUUUUUGAACGGCCAACUAAUAUAUUCAUCCGAGCGGCAAUACCGGAUCCAUCACCAAGGUUUGAGAUUGGAACGUCAAGAAAAAUUCAUUCAAAAUCAAAAGGAAUCUUGUUGCCUUCUCUCUUUCUUUCAUCGCUUUGUACUACAUGUCGUAAUAGACAUGUUUCCUUGCUUCAGAUCUGAGAGUGCCUGGGUAAGCGAAAUUUUUUUUGCUUGGUCUAACUUCCCACACAUCUCAUUUAUGUUGUCCCACAUGAGUUUUGAGUCCUCCGUGGGAGGUAAGCCAGUUGCAACUUCAGGGGAAACACAAUGUCUGAUCCACGUUCUCACUAAAUGAUUACAUUUUCUCCAUUACCGUAUCAUCCUUUCAUUUGUCAAGGUCGGAAUGGUCCCAUUGAUAAAACCAUAUUUAUCCUUCAUAAUGAGAGCUCGCUGAAGAGUAAUUUUCCGAUCCUUUUAACUGAUAGGUGGUUAGUCGAAUUUCUGGUACAUUAGCGAUGGAGACAAGUAAGGGGUCGCUGGGCUCUUGGUGACCAAUCAUGGCUAAGAUCGAAUACGGCAAGAACCCAGGUGGCAGAAACGGGUAGGGAUUUCCUCCCAUACUCGGAUUCGUCGACUCAUUUUUUUGCCCCGCACUGUGAAAACCUGCAUUCAAAUCUCUCGACCCAGUCGGUCGCCCCACAUUGAAGGAUCCCGUCCCAAUGGUUGGGCUUGCCUCGUUCACGGCUAGUAAGCCACCAUUGGACUGGGCACUAUUUUCGUGGCUUUGAUUUCUUGGCCAUGAGGUGUUUGGGCUUGGCCCAUAAUACCAAGGAUUGGGCUGCAUCUGAACGGGCAACCAUUGGAAUGGUUGGCCCAUAAAAGGGUUGCCCUAGAUUCGGCUGGGCUUGAGAUGGUGGCCAAUGCAUAUGUUGGGCCCAAAUCGGCUGCUCUUGGCUUCCAACGACUCUAGUAGGUGGGUUUAAGGUAAGAUCUUGAAUGUUCGGAGCUUCUGGCAUUAUCUCUUCUAGGAUAUGUUCUUUAGGCUGCGCAUGAUAAAAUUUUUGAAAUAGAAAUUGAUUUCUGGCUAGAAAUCAAUUUCUUAAUUUCUAUUCCCCUGACAAGUUUUUGAGCAAAGAAACCCGUUUGAUAACAAUUCAAAAUUUCUAUUUCUGAAACAGAAAUCCGUUUGAUAACAGAAAAAAAAAUUCUAUUUCUAGGAAUAGAAAUUGAUUAGAUAACAACAUAGGAAAUCCUCAAAUACAAAAUAAUAGUCGAAAUAAUACUAAUACAUUACAAAAGUUGAAAAUACAAUUUCAUGGAAUUUCCGGCAUAUUAUUAUCCUUUGCCAUUUUAUUAACAAUUGUUUUCCUAAGCGUAUUUAUUUGGUUUCCCUCCUCGGUCAAUAUAUCGUUUGCAAGCUCAUCAUGCGUAGGUUCAAACAAGUACUGCGGAAACAUGAUAUAGGUGCCAUCAAUGACGCAUAUACAGCCUUGUCAUUUUAUCGAAAACUAGUAUAUAUAAGAUUAUCAACAAAAUAAAAUUAAUGGUGUAAAGGAAUAUAUGAGAAUUCUACCUUAAAAUAACGUUUAUGGUUAGGAACCAAUCGGGGGAAGGUCGGUUUAUUUUGAUUCUUGAAUUGAAUCAGUUCAGUUGCUCAUCCCUAAUUUCUUUAUUGUUGCUCAAUGAACCUUUAAUAGCCCUUGCAUAGCAAAGAGAGAGAUUCUCUUUAAUCUCUUGCCUUCGAUUUAAAAUUCAAGAUUGUGUAACAAUCUAAUUAUUUUGAUUUUGCAAGAAUUUUGAAUCCGUAAAAAAAUAACGUUAAAUUUCUAGGCACGUUUUUUAUUCAUCUAUUACGUAAGUACUUUUUCUUCAACUGGUCAUGUGCGUGCCUUUUCUAAGAGGGAAGAGCCCCAUUGUUUUUAAGUAAGCAUUUAAGAACUUUGGUCGUUUUUUGAAAAUUGGGGACCCAUUCGAUUGCCUUUCAUCCUAAAGAAGAAGUUAUAAAAAAUGGAAAAAAUACAAAAAAAAAAAAAACAUGAGCAAAAUAAGAAAAAGAAAAUUAGCAAUAAUUUGUGAAGUUGUGGUUAUGAGUGAAUUAAGUUAGCAAGAAAACGCAAUGUUCUUUUAUAUGGUUUGAUUUCAGUUUCUUAUUUCUAUUUCAGAAAUUGAGAAGUUAAAAAUUUCAGCUUCUGAUUUUUUCAAUUUCUCUAUUUCUGGAAUAGAAAUUUGUUUUAGAAAUAGAGAAAUCAAAUCGCGUUACCAAACGGAUUUCUGUUCCAAACCUGUUCCGGGGAACAGAGAAAUAGAGAAAUCGAGAAAUGGAAAUUUUGUCAUGCGCGCCCUUAGAAGCCGAUGCCUAAUUUUGGGUCAUUGUGAUGGUUAAAAAAAGAAGAAAAAAAGCUCUCUUUUUUCUUGCUCGCUUUUGUGGUUUCAAGAAACCGAUUCCUACACCAAAGUGCUGACACUGUUUUUCAGGUUAGUCUGUCCUUUGCUGCAAGAACAAGGAAGACCUGCAGACAAUCAAUUGAUAAAGGGGCAGAAGCUAAAUUAGGAGUACAAGUGCUCUAAUACCAUAAAAAGGAAUUAAGGAAGACAAGGGAAGAAGGGGAAGAUUUUCUAUAUUUCUUUCGUUAAUUACUCAAGUGUACAAAGCUCUGUAAUUAUAGUACAUGAUGUUUACAGAUGGAGGGAAAGAAAAUAUCCCAAGAAUCAAAUCCAAUCUUUGAUUGAUAUAAUAAAUCAAUCUGAAUCCGAAUGGAUAUUGCACAUCUUGAGCAUAUAUUCCAAGAGGUCGGCUCUUUCAAGCCUAGCUUUUGUUGUAAUGCUUGCAAGCAUUAUUUAGUGUACUUUGUGCUGCAAUACUAUCAUCCCAAGUAGCAGGAAUUGUUGGGUAUGUGACCCUUUACUCUAAUAUCACUUGUUAGGUACGCCGAAGCAUUGAGGUGGUAACAUGGGAAAAUUGUAAUAAACAACUAAAAGCACACUCAAUAUGCUAGCCUGCGUUACAAAUAUAGCACUCAAAAUAAUCAAUAAAAAACAAGUACUACAAUAAACUCUCUGUCACCAUAUAAAAUACUCACUCAAAACAAACUAGCUAUACAAGCACAUGCGCUCAACUAUUCUAUUUUCCCUUCUUGCUCACAGAGGGAUAACUCGCUCACAUAGAACAACUUUCUCUAGGAUGCGGUGCCUCUCUCUCUCUCUUGACUUGAAGCUCACCUUUGCACCUGGUGACUUCCCAUUACGAAGCUCUCAUGCAUGUCGCUUCUCACCUGGUGGCUUCCUCUCUAGCUUGAGGUUCUCUGCCUGCGUGUGGCAUGAGGUCCUCUCCCUGGCCUGAGGCUCUCUCUCUUAGGUUCUUUGCCUGCGGUGGCUUGAGGUUGUUAAGCCUGCGGCUCUUUCCUAUCCUGUUGGGAUUAACGGAUUCCCAAAAACCGGAUUCGACACUAAAUCGAACCCCUAAAACGAAUGCGGAAGACAAGCCCGGGAAAAUCACAUAUCAUCGAUCAUAAAGCACACCACGGAUUCGAACGUACCUUGUUAGCUACAGAUUAAACACCGACAUCGAUAUGAGGAAGAGAAUUUGGCCAUGUUCGAUCCGAUGACGCCAAUUCGCCUUGAAGGGAAGAAAAACGUUGCCUUGUACUUUAUUGUUUUUCUUUUUGGAGAGAGAGAGGGAGAGGGACGUACGUACGUUAAUGAUUCCAAAAGGUGCGUUCUCCCUCUCUCUCCUCCCUUAUAUACGUCCCCUCUAAAAAUAUUAACAUACCCCUUCAUCCAUGGGCCCUAAUCCUGUGGGCCGGGCUUUUAGGCCCAACAUGGGCGGACGGGCCUUAAGCCCAUUACAUAAAACCAUCAUCUCCCACUCGCACAUGGUGGGCCGAACAGGAUUCUCUUUACCUCUCUUCAACAUUCAUACCGGUGAAUAAUCCAUGCGACCAGCAUACUUUGAGAGCUCGUUGCUAUACAUCUGUUAGGAAUAUAUAGCAGCUCAUAAUGGGCAUCACACUCUGAGUAGAUUUAGUAUGCAGUACCCUAGAUCGAUCGAUCACAUUUAUAUCUCUCUUGAUCUCUUUUAAAUAAUGAUAUAUAUAUUGCAUUCACAAUUAUGAUUAUCCCAAAGACAGUCAUAAUUGGUCGACCAGUGAAUACAAAACUACAAUGUGAUUCUCCAAAAUCGAUCUUCCUCUUUCCUUCAAACUCUCAAUUUCAGUUCAGCUUGCUUUUCUAGAAAUGUCCCAUUAGAUCGAAUCAACUCAUGACCAUUGGCAACAUUUUAAGAUAGCAAACACUAAAUAGAAAUCUUGAGAAUAAGUAAGAGUUAUGAGGGCACUAAAAUUGAGGAACUCUUUUCCUCAAAAGUCUCAUACGUCAUAAAAGUUGAGAUCAAACUUUUUACCACUCUUAUUGGUCGUCUCAUGCAUACGUAGUAUGAAAUACGUAUUACGGUAUUAACUCAUUUCCCAUGGAGCGUAUGUCUACACUUUCAAUACCGUACAUAUGAUAGUUCAGACAUACCCAAUGUCUAACUUGAGUUCACGUAUCUACUCAUUCACAAAAUUCAUCAAAACUCACAUCUGGUAUCUUGGACAGAUAAAGUAAAAUAUGUGGGGUAUUUUACUUUCGGACAUAGUAAGUAUUAUGUCCUCAUCUUAACACUCAGUUAAGGCGACAUACGUAUUUUACGCUUGAGUUCUCGAUUAUCACCUAGAUAAUAAGCUUAAAAAACAAUCUCAUCUCUAUUUAUCACACAGUAAAUAGAGGCGAUUACCCGUGUGAGUGGGCUAAUCUUAUAUAUGUUUGACAUACUUUCUCAACUUAAAAUAAUACACUGAGCAUUAAGAUGCAUAAAGAUCAAACAAAGAUUCAUAGGCAUUAAUAAUGAAACAACACUAGUUCAUAAAUGUGAACAACUCAGGGAAAUUACAAUCCAGUACAUCAGACUCUACGCAAUCCUAGAGAUUUUACAUGACCACAAAACACAUCUCUAGGUAUUGGCUUUGUCAUAGGAUCUGCUACCAUUCUAUGCGUAGAUAUACACUGUAAGUUCACAUCCUUUCGUGCAACCAUAUAUUUGACAAAAUUAUACUUGGUAUCUAUAUGUUUGGUCUUGUCAUGAUAUUUUGGAUCUUUAGUGUACGCUAUAGCUGCUUGGCUAUCACAGUUAACCAAUAAUGGAUUUGCAGCUUUCUCAAUAACACCUAAAUGAUCCAAAAAUCUCUUAAGCCAAACUCCUUCUUGUACCGCUGCUGAUAAUGUCACGAACUCAGCUUCCAUCGUGGACAAGACUAUACAUGUUUGCUUCUUACUGCUCCAUGAUAUGGCGCCAUUGUUCAGUAAGAAAGCAAAUCCAAAGGUAGAUUUUCUUUCAUCUAAAUCUCCUCCCCAAUCAACAUCUGAAUAGCCUUCAAGUCGCAGAUCCUUUUCUUGGUAAUUCAACUUGUAAUCAGCAGUUCCCUUCAGAUACCUCAGUAUUCUCUUAACGGCUUUCCAAUGUGCUGGACCUGGAUUGGAUUGGUAUCUACUCACCAUUCCAACUGCAAAACAUAUGUCGGGUCUUGUACACAUCAUAGCCUACAUCAAGCUCCCAACAGCACUAGCAUAAGGAACAUAUUUCAUUUGUUCCUUCUCUUGUGGAGUCAUUGGACACAGUCUAUGGCUUAAUCCUUCACCUUUUGCAAUAGGAGUGUCUAUGGGUUUACAAUCUUGCAUACGAAAUCGUUCAAGAAUCUUAUUUAUAUAUGUUUCUUGCGAAAGAAACAACGAUCUCUUGAAAUCUUAACUCCAAGAAUGUAUGCAGCCUCACCCAUAUCCUUCAUCUCAAAGUUGGAAGACAACAAACUCUUGACAGUAUUAACAAACUCCAUAUUGCUUCCGACAAUCAGUAUAUCAUCAACAUAUAAUGAUAUGAUCACAAAUUGAUCCUUGGAUCUUUUGAUAUAUACACAAUGAUCCUCAUCAAUCAUUGUAAAAUCAUAUGCCAUUAUGGCAUUAUGAAAACGUAUAUACCAUUGUCUCGAUGACUGCUUAAGACCGUAUAUUGAUCUCAAAAGUCGACAUACCCUUUCUUCUUGGCCUUUCAGUAUGAAACUAGCAGGUUGUUCCAUAUAUAUUUCUUUAUCUAAUUCUCCAUUGAGGAAAUGAGUCUUUACAUCCAUCUGAUGUAACUCAAGAUCCAUACUAGCCACUAUUGCCAGAAUAAUGCGAAUCGAUGUAAAUCUCACUACAGGAGAAAAUGUAUCUUCAUAAUCAAUUCCUUCAUGUUGAUUAUACCCUUUCGCCACAAGGCGAACCUUAUGCCUUUCUAUCGAGCCAUCAGCCUUUCGCUUUAUUUUGAGAACCAACUUGUUCCCAAUAGCUCUACGUCCUUUUGGAAGAUCAACCAGUUCCCAGACUUGGUUUGAUUUCAUGACUCCAUUUCUUCUUCCAUUGCAUGAAUCCAUUUUUCUUUACUAGGGCAAUUCAGAGCCUCAUUAAUAUUUCUUGGCUCAUCCUCAUCUUGUGGAGCAACCAUAAAAGUUUCCCCUUCAAUGUCAAAACGUUGACUGGGAAUACUUUGGCGACUUGUUCGCCGUAUGGGAGAUUGUACACUUUGCACAUUAUUCCCCAUUAUGCUCCCAUUUGGAUUAGAUAAUGAUGAUGUCGUCUCAUCAUGUGGUUGCAACUGAGAAUGAGUUGAAUUCAAUUCAUCAUUUCUCAUAUCACUCCCACUUGGACGAACUUUAUUAAUAUCGUUAUCUUGAUCCAAGGUUUCAAAUAGGGAGUAAUCUUCCCCUAUUUCGCCCUUCUUAGGAAAUUCAUCCUCUAAGAAUGUGACAUCUCGUGAUUCAAAUUCAGUUAUACUCCCACUUUCCUGCUCACCUAUGAACAUAUACCCUUUCGAGUGUUCUGAGUAUCUUAUGAAAAAUACUCUUCUUUCCUCUGGGACCCAAUUUCCCAAACUUGUGAGAGAACUCAUGAGUAUAGGCAGCACAACCCCAUGGCUUAAGAAAACCUAAGUCCGGUUUUCUACCUGUCCAUAACUCAUAUGGAGUGGAAGUAACUGAUUUGGAAGGCACCCGGUUAAGUAUAUAGACAGCAGUUAACAACACAUCACUCCAAAAAGUAAUAGGUAAGUUAGCAUGCGCCAUCAUGGACCUAACCAUUUCCAGUAUGAUUCUGUUUCUUCUAUCCGCAACACCAUUUUGUUGAGGAGUAUAUGGAAUAGACAACUGUUUUUCUAUUCCUUUUUCAUCACAUAAUUUUCGGAACUCAUCAGAUAAAUAUUCUCGACCUCGAUCGGAUCUCAAUGCUUUUAUUUUCUUGUCUAAUUGAUUUUCUACCAGGUUCAUAAACCUUUUGAAACAACUUAAUGCUUCAUAUUUAUGAGAAAUCAAAUAGACAUAUCCGAAUCGAGUAUAAUCAUCUAUAAAGUGAUGAAAUAAACAGCCCCAUGCCUUCCUCUCACAUUCAUUGGACCACAGACAUCAGAAUGGAUUAAAUGCAGAGGAAAUUCAGCUCUUUUACCUUUUCCAAAUGGUUUCCUUGUCGUUUUCCCUUCUAGGCAAUGCUUACAUAUGGGCAAAUCGACUUUUUCAAUGUUGCCCAACAAGCCAUCUUUGGCUAGUCUAUUCAUACGUUGUUGGCCAAUAUGACCAAGUCUAACAUGCCACACAUUUACAUCAUUAUCAUACGAAUUAGGAGACGUGAGAAGGGAAUAACAAACAUUUGCAUUAACAUAGUCAAUAUCUAAUACAAUGAAACCAUCCAGAAAAUAACCACAACCAUAGUAAUUUGUAUCCAAAAACAAAUCCACACAUUUAUUAUGGAAGUUCAUAUUAAAACCUAGUUUAACCAACACCAAAACAGACACUAAAUUCCGACGAAUCUCCGGAGCAUACAAUACAUCAUGAAGAAACAAAGUGCGUCCACCACGCAUGUUCAAUUGGCAGGUGCCAAUUCCUUUCACUUCAGCUCUGGAGUUGUUUCCCACAUAGAUCCACUUAAUUCUAGUUAGUACUCGUCGGAAUUCCACAAAUGAUUCUCUAUCCUUCGCUACAUGGUCUGUCGCUCCUGAAUCUAUAGUCCAUAAAGGAUUAGACUCAAUUAAGAAUAUAGAACUCGACACAAAAGUAAAGUUCUGAAAAGUACAAGGGGUGUUUACCUUCUUUGGCUCACGACAGUCGCGAGCAUAGUGACCCUUCUUGUCACAAUUGUAACACUUCACCCUUGUAAGCUUUUUCAUUCGAGGACGCUUUCCUCUUUCAUGUUGGUUAAGCUUGGGUUUCUUCCCUGAAGGACCUACUUCCUUGCCUUUCCCUUUAUCAAACCAGUUAGGACGUUUGCGCUUAGAGCUCGAAGCUCCAUGUGAGCUAGAACCAGCAUGAUAGAUUUCAGCUUCUGGCUUAGCCACCAAGAGGCGGUCCUCUUCCAGCUCAAGAUGACGCAUUGCAUCCUCAAAGGUUUUGAUAUUUUCAUUAUGAGUCAGGUGCACCUUCAUAUGCUCCCAACUCUGAGGCAAGGAACAAAUCACUGCUUGCACUUGCUGCUCAUCAGUGAGGACAUGGCCAGCAUCUUUCAACUCAUGUUUGACAUCUUCUAAGAUGUUGCUUCAUGGUCUGACCAUGAGGCUUCUUAUAAGAGUCAAACCUAAUAGUGAGCUGUCUCAGUCUGGUCAUCGAAGUAUGACCAAAUCUAGCUACCAAUGCUUCCCACAUUUCCUUGGCAUUGUCAAAACGCCUAAACUCUCGCAUGACGUCAUUUUUCAUGCUGCUCAGCAACGUGAUGUGAGCAAGAGAGUUCUUUCUUUUCCAUGCAGCAAAACCUUCCUUAUCUCUCUUGUGCUGUGCAGUGUUUCCUUCUUCAGGUUCUACCAUGGUCAGGUUAAGAGCUUCAAGUGCCUCUUGCUCUUCCAGCACAUAUUGGAUUUUCAUGUGCCAUAUUUCAUAGUUGUCACCAUUGAGCUUUUCACCUUUGUUCAGCUCGGCAACUAUGCUCUUUGUGGCUGAAGCCAUUGAUCUAAACACAUCAGACAUAUAUGCACAAAUUAUUAAUGCCUAUCACUUAUGCAUCCCUUUUGCACAGACCCAUCAUAUUAAUGAACAAUUUCAAGUAAGGUUUUAGAAUCAAAAGGUCACUAAGUUUCCAAUCAUCCUCCAAAAAUCCUAACUUAAAACUAUCAUUAAUAUAAUUGUCUUAUGCAAAAUAAAUUCUAUGAAACUACAAAAACUUUUAUAACUACCCACAAUAACCAGCAAUAACAUAAAGCAAAUAAUAAUCGACAUCCAAUAAAACAAUAAUGCUUUCACAUAAUACAACUAACAUAUCGGUUGCUACAUCAACAACAAUCAGGUAGUAAAUAUUACAUAAGAUGUCCACAAAGCACACUUAACAAUGAUCAGCCAAUACAUCUAACACCAAGUCAGCACACGAACUGGGAAAGAUCCUCUUUUAUUCAAUUUCUUGAUCUUUUCCCUUGUAACAAUCCAAUAAUAUUCAUCUACAAAAUCCAUCACAAUUUUCUUAUAUGAAGUAGCUCUGUUGACAUCCCAUAUGCGAUUCAACACUCCUUGCCAUUCAGGUGGAAGGGUGUUCAUGAAAAAUCGCACCAUCUCUGACUGUGGCAUAAGACGACCAUUCCAUAUGACCUUUUGAAUUUUUCCCGUUGACUUCAAGGACGUGAUUAAUUAAGUCACCACUCUCCCAUCGAUGAUCAGUCAACUCAGCUAUCAACUUAGAAAGUCUUUCCUUUUGUUCAUCGGUAAUUGCGUGAAUAGGUGUGCGCAACCUCAGAGGAUACAUUGUUCCUGCAACAAAUACAGAACAAAUAAGGAAUCACAUAUAAUCCACAUAGACUUAAUUGAAAAAGAAACACAUUCUUUUCCUCCCUUUUUUUUUGGGGGUCAACGGUCAACGUAGUCGGUCAACGGUCAACGGUCGUCGAUCAACGAUCAGGUUGCUGGAUCGUUGGACCGGUCGGGCCGGGUCGGAAGAAUCGACCGGCACGAGCCACGCGCGUGCGCAGGCUGACGUCACACAGACGUCAUCCGGCACGUGCGCGGCAUGUGCCAGGCUUCCAACGGUCGUCGGCGAUGACAUCAUCCCAGUGGUUACCGUGACGUCACUGUGACGUCAGCACACGUCGGUUCGCCGACCGGCGUGUGCCGGUUCGCCGGCCGGCGGCGCGCACGUGCCGGUUCGCGUGCCGGUUCGCCAACCGGCGCGUGUGCCGCACGCGCUAGCCUAGCCAGCGCUUCGAGCGCGUCGCGCCUACGCGCAACGGCUUCUGGCCGCACGUGUGGGCGCGUCCGGCAACGCCCGACCCGUCGACGAACUCGUCUCGACGAGCUCUUUCACCCUAUGCCUUCAGAAAUCGAUUUUGACUUUCAGAAACUUGAAAAAAUGGAUGAACGGUGCUUGGGUGUUGGGAUUUUUCGCCCCGAUCCAUGUCGGCCGAGUAUUUUCGCGAAAAUUCAAUAAAAAAACAUGAAAGGUGUCGGGAAAACAUGAACUAGGGCUAUGAUACCAAUGUUGGGAUUAACGGAUUCCCAAAAACCAAAUUCGACACUAAAUCGAACCCCUAAAACGAAUGCGGAAGACAAGCCUAGGAAAAUCACGUAUCACCGAUCCUAAAGCACACCACAGAUUCGAGCGUACCUUGUUAGCCACAAAUUAAACACCGCCGCCGAUAUGAGGAAGAUAAUUUGGCCAUGUUCGAUCCGAUGACGCCAAUUCACCUUGAAGGGAAGAAAAACGUUGCCUUGUGCUUUACUAUUUUUCUUUUUGGAGAGAGAGAGAGGGAGAGGGACGUACGUACGUUAAUGAUUCCAAAAGGUGCGUUCUCCCUCUCUCUCCUCCCUUAUAUACAUCCCCUCUAAAAAUAUUAACAUAUCCCUUCAUCCAUGGGCCCUAAUUCUGUGGGCCGGGCUUUUAGGCCCAACAUGGGCGGACGGGCCUUAAGCCCAUUACAUAAAACCAUCAUAGCCUAACUUCAAAUGCUUCACGUACUGCCAUAUUUAGAGGAGUUCCACUGCCUCUUGAAGUCCAAUCGACUUCAAUGUGAAAGAAUCCAGCCACAACUUUUCUUCUCUUUCUUUGCCAGCUUCAAUUUGUUAACAGAUGGCUAAUCAAUGCAUGAAGACUAUCUUGGACUUUCCUUUUCUCUCUUUUUGACCAACGUGUUGCCCCUGCUUCAUGAAGACUUCACUCUCUACUUGUGAGAGGAUACAAUAUUAUAAUAACGUGUGCUCGUAAUUUUUGACCAAAACUUCUUUUUUCUUUUGUUUCAUUUUAUGGAGGUUCCAAAGGCAAUUUCCAAUAGGACACUUUUGUCUUCAACAGCUUCUCAUUGCUUCUUCAUACUUGCGGCUUCUUGUUUUCAACUAGGUGUUGACCAGAAGUUACAUUACUAUCAUCCCAAGUAGCAGAACCAAAAGUUACAUCUUCCAUAAUGAUUUCAUUACAUACAUAAACUCUGUUUUCAGUGAAUCUUUUGAGUUUUUAUUACUUUCCUUGUGGACAGGUGAAUGUUGAGUGAGCGAACGAAUAGUCAUCAUAACUAUAGUGAUGUAUGAACCAAUGAUCCCACUCCACCUAGGAAUCAGAACUUACUCCACCCUAGGCCUAGCCACUACCGAGUUCCAUGCAACUGAGGACAGGAUCGGCCAGUUAAACAGCGCUCGCCAACUAACAAAACCAAAGUUACAAGCCAAAAACUAGUGCAAAACUAUCAUUAUUUUAUAGCCAUGCUAAUUACCUAACAAAUAAAUUAACGUUCCACCCAGAAAGAGCACAAUGUAUCAUAAAAUGCAUCUCCAUCAUUGUCAACCUAUUCUUGAGUUGUCUCUUCCAAAAACCAAAGUUGUCGCCCAGUUCACCGCGACAUAGAAUCUGUUCCUCUAGCUGACUACCCUCGUGAGAUAAGCAGAAUGCCAAACCAGCCAACUCACAAAUCCCACAUGCAAUAUUCCCUUUGUGUCCUGCAAAAAGAAUGUUUGCAUAAGUGACAGUCAUUAAUUUAGCGAAUAAGUACGGGCACAUCAAAAUCUAGGUAAUAAACCAUUAGUAUGUCAUGGUAGCAUGUUAUGUACCUUAGACUUGUGUAAAUUGACAAGCGCCUUGUAACGCCCUACAGAAGCCAUGCUUCCCAAAUGUCUGUACACAAAUGGGUCUCUUAGAGGUAUGUCUUUCGAGCAAAAUGCUUUCCCUCCAUUUUGCUUCCCUAUCCUACGAAGUAGCUCCUCCAAGAAUUUCCCUUCCCUUUCUGUGACUUGUUUCAGAAAUUAGCAUUCGUGUUAUUUCCAAAGAAAGAAGGAAACCGAGCGUUUAUGCAAUGAGAAAGCAAUGGUGAAUGACCACUUCCAAGUUCAAAUGGAAGGAUGAUGCCACUUGUUAUACAAAGUAGAGCAAGGAACUAAAGUUGAAGAUUGUAGAUCAAACCAAAAGCUACAAUGAGACGUCUUUAAAGGAAUUAGACAGGGUGACUGAACCUGAGCUAAAGCAAGAAGCACCGGCCUCCCUGUCUGUUCAAGAAAACCCGCACAAUCUCCCGACGCAAAACACAUCUUCCAUUGAAGGUAUCCUCAACCAUUCGUCAACCCCAAUCCUAAAACAGUUGAGAGGACAAAUCAUUCAAUUGGAAGGUGGUGGAAUGCUAAAAUGAGAUCAUCAUAAGGUUCUUAUCCUCACCUUCCACCAGGGGAUUUGGGAAGAUCAAGUGACUUGAUAAACUCUAAGGGUCCAACGCCGGUGGACCAAACUAGGAGGCCAUAUGGAACAUCCGUACCAUCACUCAGCACAAUUUUCUUUGCAUGCACCUCUUUGACCACGCCUCUUUUAAGGCGAACACCAGACUAGCAUUGAAAGCAUUAAGGGCCCGUUUGGUUCAGCUUUGGGGAAAUGCCAUUGGGAGAAUGCAAAUACCUUUGAGAUAAAAGGGGUUUUCCGAAAUGCUAGACUGUUUGGUAAACUAAAACUGAAAAGUGCUUUAGGGAAAUGUAAAACUGUUUGGUAAACUUGUAUUUGAAAAGCCAUUUGGUAUGACCAAAUUAAGUGUUUUAGUUUUAAUAUUUUUAAAAUUGCAAAAAAGAAACAAUGAGUAUACAACAUUUUACAUUUUCAUGUUGAAAGUAAUGUAAAAGAUACAUAUUAGUAAAUUUAUUUAAAAAUUAUAUUAAAAGAAUUUGAUUAUAGAUUAGAUGCAAAGCUCAACUUUUGGCCUAGGAUUCUUUUAGGUUUGUUUUCAACUUUGAAUAGUUUUUUUUAAUUAUUAUAGUAUUAAUCAUAUUCGUUAAUUAAUUAUCAUUCUAGUAUAUUAAUAAAAAAGUUGGGCUAUUGAUUGUCAAAAGAUAAAAAUGAUAUAGCAAAAAAGAAAAAGUGAACUUAUUCGGUGGAUGAUAAAGCGACCGAUUGUGGAUGCUAUUUUUUUUUUUAGUAAACACCGCAUAUAAAAAGGGAGGUCUUCAUUAAGAAAAAUAAAACCAAGUUCCUCUCAUACAAAUUUGACUAGAAACAUUUCAUGAUAUUUAACAUGGUCAUAUAUGUCCCAAAAAAAAAAGAAAUACGUCGAAUGCAAAUCAACAUCAAAAUGAACUGUUAGAAAAGAUGACAGUAACUUGAGAAAGAAAAUCAACUUACCCUUGUUAGAUGAUUCGUCGCAUACUGCCUUAAGCUAACGUCGAAUGCUGACAGGAUUUCAUUGCCUAUUAAAGGGUGUACUUGUCAUUGCAUGUUAUUUACAAUUUUUCCGAACUGAUGCUAGCAUCUGCAUGCAAGUGUGUAUGAGUACCUCAAUAAGGGUGACUUGAAUGUAAUCCUUAACAUGAGGAAAAUGUUCACAAACGUCUUUCAUGAUAAAAUCACUUAAUUCAUCACUAAACUCCACCCCAAUUGGUCCACCUCCAAUGACAAUACAGUGUAAAAGGCGUUUCCUCUCUUCUUCUAAUAUGCCUAUAAGAUACAGAGAAAUGAAGCCGUAAAAUCUCGCCGAUCAUUAAUUAUUGAAAAUGUGGAGGCGACAACAAUGAGCAUUUUCUUCUAUUUUUGUGGCUUUGAAGGUUGCUCUUUAAGUGCAAUUCAUGACGUAGGAGAAUUGAAGUACCUGGAUUUUCAGAGAGCAUGAGGUUCAACAAAAGCUUCUUCCUGAUUUCUUGGGCAUGAUUCACCUCACGAAGGAAGUAGGCAUGUUCCUUAACACCUUUUGUACCAAAAGUCAAGGGCUCAGCUCCGGCUAUGAUGACCAGCUUGUCGUAUGCGACUUUAAACCGGUAAGGCUCUUGAGACAGUCUGCCGUAGCCAACCGUUUCACAGUACACCUGGUCAAUAUGGAAUGAGAUUUACCAAAAGAGACAAACAGAUAGGAAUUACGUAGCAUAAUUGCAAAACCUAGUGUCUUUUGACAUUUCGUACUGGUGCAUCUUCAGUUCCAUCACCUUGAAGAAAUGAAAUUUAACCUUAUCUCACUAUGCAGUAUGUACCUAAAUCACUUUUCGACAUGUCCAACAGUGUGUACAAUGCAUGUCGAUAUAUGUUAGUUAGUUCACCUAUCACAGACAGAAUUCUUAUAGCCAGGACCUCGACACAAAUGCAAAAGUGUGGACAAUCCAUCUCAAUGUUUGUCACUCGGCAUAUCGUAAAUUUAUGAUGUUUGUUCAUUGCUACUUGAAGAAGAUGGAGGAAAAUUCCAGUCAAUCAAUACAUGCAAAAUGAAAUGGAACUGACCAUAUUCUUGGAGGAAAAACUAUAUGAGCAUCAAGAUCAACAUACGAUAGCCAGAUAUUCAACUUACUUCAUGCUUGGCAGUGUCAAUUCCAGUGCAGGAAGCCAAAUGGAAGUACGAAUUGGGAGUUGCCGCAAGAGCAGGCUCUAUCCAGUUCACGGGCUCUGUGACCGAACGGAACUCCAAAGUUCCAACACAUGUCGAUGGAAGAAGGGGAGUGAAAACCAUGUGAUUUCGGGGGGAAACGCACACGAUAUCAUAUAUGCUCAUAUCAAGCCCCUUCAUGAACCGGCAAGCCACCCACCCAGUACCAAGAACGACCACCCUUGGCUUUUCUCCGGGCUUAGUCGGUUCAAGACCUGUAUAUCUGUCCCUCUCAUAUGCAGAAUCGGACUCUGCCAAUGCCCUCUCAGUGACAAGAAAUUGAUCAUGUGGGGUUGUCCUAAUUCCUCUGCUCCACUUACUAGCACAAUCUAACUUAUUCAAUGGUCAAAAAAAUCGCUUCUCGUGGGGAUACCUUUGAAAGAAGAAAAGGAAAAUGAUUUCGCGAGUACUCCUCUAAAAAUUUCUUCUUUUCCAUCUGUCAGGCUCCCAACAGCACCUCCUGUUCUUCUCAGGUUGCUUCGAACAAAACUUGCAAAUGCCAAUGGGUAAAACACUAGUAAUUCAAAUGCAAGUCAAUAGCCUGGAUCUUUAGGCCUAUUGAUGAAAUUGCACCUGAGAAAAAAGAGACGCUUGGGCUUAAUGCUAUAAGAAAAGCAGAAAGAUAUAGAGAAAGACUGUGCAAUCGCUCCAUGAUAUCAGGAGGAGGUAAAGACAACAUGUAGAACAACUGGAGUUUGGUCCAAGCGAAAUGGAGACAAGUAAUUGGUGUGUGACAACUAUUUCUUCAAUGACUGCUGGGACAAAGACCAGAAGCCAACUUAGCAUGGGUCAUCAACUGAUGGCACAUGCAAUGAGAAAAUUUCUUGUGGUUUUCUAUAAGCCAAUAAAAGACAACAAAAAAGGCCUAUAUUUCUGGUAGGAAAGGCAUGAUUUGUAACUGACUCAUUCAAUCAAAGGCUUGAUCUUUUGUGCAACAGCCAAUUUGAUGAUUUCAAGAAUCUCGUUUGACUAGAUUCCAAAAAUCCACAAAGUGCAAAUCUCACCAAGUGUCAGCAUAUGCCUGGAGGUUUACAUGGGAUGCCAUGAUCGAGAACAGUGAAAAAAGAAUAUCAACAGACACAAACGGUUUGCUUUCACCUGCUCUCUAAUAGGAUGAACACCCAGAUAAAAGUAGAACAAAAGGAAAGAACAGUUCUUUUCACCUAGAACUUUAUCAGUUCCUCAAGGUGCAUCACAUAAAGGGUCGUUAGCUGAAUACUGUUUGAGAGUGCAUGUCGAAUAUUUAUUAGUCUAACUACAGAGAGGUUAAAUAAACCAAGUGCAGAUCUAACCAGGGAGCUCUGCAUCUAGAAACACCAACAAUCAAUCAAUAGUGGCCCCCCUAACAAUGUAAAUGCGAAUGGUCGGUAACCCCAAAAGACAGCGACAAAGGCCCCGUUUGGUUCAGCAUUUCCAAGGGCUUUCAACCCGGAAAGCCCUUUGGGAAAAAAAAAGUCAGCCCUUCUUGUUUACUAUCCUGUCCUUUGAAAAUCCUCAAUCAGCAUAGAAAAACUCGGACGUUUCAUCAGGUUCAAGGACUUGUAUCGGAAGCAACAAGCUUGUCAAUAUGCAUGGACAUCGACAAAGUCACAAGUAAACAAGCAUUCGCAACAACCACCUGGUAACACCACCACAAGGUUCACUACCCGCGAUCAGUAUUAAAAAAACAGAGAGCUUCCUUGCUAAUGCUUCAUCAAAAUCCGACCUUUACCGUCUCAAAAGGUCAGAUGGGUCUCUACAUGGUUUAGCGAGGAAAGAAACAAGGAUAGCUCAAACCUUGUCAGUUCUUGACAGCCACCACCUUAUUCAUCUAAAGCCAUGUUACUAAGGAAUUUCGCAUGCCAAGCAAGGGCCAGAGGCAGUAGAGCGAAUGCUUAAACCGCAAGGCGAUGUCAAUGGAGGUUUCAGGUUCCAAGUUCAACCAAGACAAAGCUUUCGAGCUUUCGAGCUUGAGUUGAGGCAGAGGAGAGAGAGGGUCCAAUAUCUCAGGAGCUUCAGACAAGGUGCAACAAUCCCAGAGAAUGAACCUCAAAUUGCGUCACAUGUCCAACGUGGGCCCACGUUGUCAAGCCAUUUUCUCCCUACUUUUCUCUUUAGGCAUUUGGUUCAGCAUUUGGAGGUGUCAUUGGCCAAAUGCUAGCAUUUGGAAUGCUGAUAUAAGAGUUAAUGAGUUUUUUUUCUUUCCAAUAUUACCCCCAUUAUAAUUGUGUUCUCCUCUUUUGCCCUCAUAAGACACUGUUCAUCAUCUUCUUCGGGUGACUGUGCACGGUGGGCGGCGCUCAGCCGCAAGCGACCAGAUCUAGCCGCCAGGAAGCCUCGCUUGAGGUCGCACGACCUCAGGCAAGGUGGCUUGAGGUCGGGUGACUGUGCGACCCAGGCGACGCCCGAGGUCGCCUGACCGCAAGCAAGGUGGCUUGAGGUUGCGGCAGCGUCACCUGGGUCACUCGACCUCAAGCAACGCCACCGGAGGCCCGACGUUGCCUGGGUCAUGCAACCUAGGCUCGCCAGAGGUCAGCGCGACCCCCCCCCCCCCAAACCGCCGUCGCCGCCUCCGCCGCCACCGUCGCCACUAGCCGCCUCCCCACCACCACCGGCGCCACUGUAGAGCCACCUCCCCCCACGAUUUUCCCCUCUCCACCCAGCUGCAUCUCCUCCCUUUCUUCUUUUCUUCUCUUUUUUUUUUCCUUUUUCUUUUCAACCUAAAGCUACUUUGCAAAUAUACACAUUUUUGAGUGUCCAUACACACUAGCAUUCACAAAAUGCCCAUUCAGUCAAAGAUACUUGAGGAAAUGCAAAGUCAUUUCCCCAAAAUUGAACCAAACGGGCCCUCUCUCCUAUAUCCCCACUUUUCUCUCUCUUCUUCUCUCUCCCUCCUCUGCAUGUUCUCUCAGCCAAUUUCUCCCCACUUUUCUCUCUCCUCUCUUUCUCCUCUCUCCUGUUGGAUGCAAAACAUGUAAUCCAAAGAUCUCUAUAACAAGAAUAAGAGCAUAGAUGAUUGAGUAGAAAAAUUAACGUACCUGAUUUGGAAUCCAUCAUUCUUGAUGCAGAAGCGAAAAGCGAUGAUCCACACGCAAGUCAUUCUCCUCUAUUGCCCUAUGUAUCACAAGCUCAAUGAGAUGGCCCCUUACCCUUUAGCACUAGGUAAACGCUCAUUAUGUGAGGAUAGUUAUGAAAAUUAGGAUUAAAUGAGAAACUUGAGCAAUAUUUAUAUAUUUUCCAACUAGGCCCUCUCAUUACAGGCUAGGGGCCCACACUAACAAGUCCCUUAUUAGACUAAUUAAGAAACAUUCUAUCUCACCUUAGAACAACCCCGUAAAACGGUAAAUUACAAUAUCAAAUAAUGUAGCCCACAUCAGGAAAAAGCUUACAUUCUCCCACUUGGGCUAUAUUAAAUGAAAUUGUACUGUAUGUGCGCAUAUUAAUCGAGAGAUAAUUCUUAAUAGUCAAUCUUAUCCCAUAAAAUUUCAAACACCGAAUUAUGGCGGUAACUAUAUGUAACAUAUAGAGCCUUCGAUGGUCACAAGUGCUUUCAAUUUUAUUGAUAUGGAUUCAAUAUGAUAGUGUGGCAAAUGAAUAACUUUUCUCAUAGAGAUAUCCCAUUUGUCAGUCACCAUUCUCUUCCCUUAAGCAUCACAAAAAACUUGUGCUACUAGAGAAUUUCUUUAUGGUUCCAAUGAACCCACAUAUAACAUGUCCUUACAGUUAACAUUUCUUUAUAUAUAACAAGACAUAUGCACAAGGCUAAUAACUGGAUGCCCUUAGCCUUCACUCAAGAUUUAUACAAUACCUUGAGACUUUAUUAAUAUGUAUUCAACAUAAUAACAACACAUUCAAAAAUAUUUUAUUGAAUGCAAAAGUUGAUACAUAUCAAACAAUUACUAAGUGUAAUGAACACAGAUGUAAACUUUAUUACAGUAAAACCGAAAUAACUCUCACUAAACAACAGCAUCUCAUGAUGCUCUUAAGUUUAUAUUAAUGACAUGUCAUUCAAGAACAGAAGAUCGAAGUCCUUUAGUUAGUGGAUCUACAAUCAUAUUAUCUGCGAAAAUAUGUUAUAUUAAAACGUCACCUUUCUGUAUCGUUUCUUUAUGGUAAAAAAAUUGACUGUCAAAUAUUUAGACUCAUUGAGAUCUAUGUCGUUAAUAAAAAUAUUAUAAAUUUAUUGUCUCAAUACAACCGUAUGGAUCAAUCCAUAAAGUUAAAAACGAAUAACUCCUUAAUGAGGUUCCAAAGCCUAAUAGCCUAAGUAAUAGCAUAAAAGAAUGUUACUAACUUUGCUUACAUAGUGGAAGAUGACAUUGAACUUUAUUUACUACAGUUCUUGCUAACAUAAAUAUGUAUUCUGUUAUUGAUCUCAUGUCAUCCUAACAGCCAGCAAAGUUUUUUUUUUUUGUAAAGAACAGCUAGCAAAAUUUACAUCUAAAUACCCUAUGAAGAAAAAAAAGUAAAAACAUAUAAUCGAAGAGAGAAAGGAUGAGGGGUUUCUAGUGGGUGGGUCCAAACAUCACACGUGUCGAUUAUUGAAUGAUUUUGUACAGGAUUGAUGAGGCAUUACUCAUGCACUAGAGUGAUAUGAAACAACAAAGAUAUGGUAAGACGAUGGAGGGAAAUCAAAGGAAGUAGGCGGAAGGAGCAAGAGCGAGAUCGAUCUUGGAUCGUCAAGUUAGAAAAGAAAUAGUCCUUUGAUGCUAAAUUUUCCCUUUCUUCAAAAUAUCAAAUCUAAUCUCGAUAUCAUGUGAAAUCUUAUGAAGAGAGGUCACGAAUUUGAACUCGAUGAUUUGCCUCACUACAGUCGAAGGAGUUUUCCUCUUGAUCUUGUAACAGGCGCUCCAAGGGGCCAAUAAUCAAGACCAAGCAUGCAUCAAAAGUCAUCCUUUUUUCUCAAGGUUAUUUAAUUCGCUUAUAUUGUCAAGGAAAGUAUGAUGUACAGCUUGCUAAAAUUUCGCGUACCAUUCAUGAGAAAAAAAAAGUGGGAAAUCUCUCUUUGUUUGAAACUUAAAGAAUUAGGUCAAGGCUGAACAAAUUAUAUUUGGUUAGCCUAUAUUUAAAUUUCACGUAAUUGACAAAAAUAAAAUAAAAGAUCUUGAAAUCAAAUGAAAUAUAAUUAUCGAAUUGCUACUUAAAAAAAAAAAUCACGCGAGGAAGGAAAAGUCCAUGUUUGCAAACGUUUGCGCUCUCGUGUUUCACCUUCCGCACGCAAAGGUUUGGAGGGCGGCGCCCAGGGCGCGAAGAGACCAUUAAGCCCUCAGCUCAUCACCUCGGCCAAGAAGUCAACGGGAGGGUAAUUAUGGGAUUUCCAUCUACUUAUUCCCUAACCCCCCAAACCAAAAUCACGAGGUCAAAAGUGAGGGAGACAAUGUUUGACGGCGGCCCUUGGUUUUUUUUUUUUUGUCAGUCCUACUCUAUUCCUACUCUACACUCACUCUCAGACUUUUGCCCUGCCUCUUGCAGGGCGUGGGAGUCGAAACCCACUCUUGAAACUUACGCGUCCCCAUCCCAUCCCCCCCUGAGAAGGUGGAGAUUUGAACCCCUCACCUCCCUCUUCCAUGUUGGAAGGGUGGCCACUGGGGCGAAUCCCAGUGGUUACGGCGACGCUUGGUUGGAAUCCAAGAAAAAGACAUUCGGUUUGCCAAUGAGAGAAGACACUUCAUUCCAACGAAUCUUGUUACUUAAUAAUAAUUUUUAUUAAUCAUAUAUUGCAACUUAUCAUCAAGUGAAAAGAUUCAUAAGAAUUAAAAACAAAAAACAAGUGCAACCUUGGGACAAACAAUUUGAUGAAUUUUUUUUUUUGGUAACCUAGGGAACCCGCGCACCAUACCAACACGAACAACCCGAAAGGCUCAGGGUAAUGAGGGGUAAACCCUGAGGGCAACACGUGCUAGCCACCACACACGUGCCACUGGGUAAGUCAACUCCUCCCCUUGCGUUAGAGGGAGAAGCUCGCCGCCAGCAGCGCCACCCAGGUGAGUGGUAACAAUUUGAUGAACUUUUGUGUUAUGCAUUGCAAUAAAUUUCAUCAUCAAUUACUAAAAAAAAUAGAAAACAAAAUAGAAGAUGAAAAUCAGAUUGCAACUCCAUAGUUAGAUGGAGCUUUCGGACUCACAUGAAGGCAAAGAAGAGACACUAGGAAGCUUCCCACAAUCAUAUUCUGCAAUACCCUUCACUACUCUACCAAAGAGGAGCCCAUAGAAUAUGACAUCUCUUAGGAACCUCAUGAAUCGACUAGACCCAUCUUGCACCCUUGCAAUGCUGUGAUCAGUGUCGCCACCCUCAAUCUCCUCUCCUUUGCGUACCUCUCUAUAGCAAAUCCGAUGUCUCCGGUCACCAGUUUGCCGUGCUUGGCAAUUGAGUCCCCAAGGUGCCUACCCAAUGCCACCGCGUCCUCGAGAGCCGAACAUCCUCCCUGGCCCAAGUCGGGAGUCAUCGGGUGCAUAGCGUCUCCAGCCACCGUGAUGCUUGAUCGAAAUAGGUUUCCGAACAGGAUGUCCCAAGGAUAUCGGAACAUCAGUGGUGCCCAUGUCAAACUCGAAAGAUCGGAGUGCUUGACGACAUCGAGGUACACGGGUGGGAAGUCCUUCGCCAAAGUUUCCAUCACCUCCCUUUGUAUCAUUUCUGGAUCUGCUUCUUUUUCCACACCUUUAUAAAUGGAAGCGUUAGGGAUCGAGGAGGAUUAGUAAGCUAGUAUUGAAGGAGCCAUCGUGGUUGGGAAUCUCAGCAGAAGAUAAAAUGUAGUAUACAUGGUACCUUUAGGAGGACACGUGGCCCCGAAGAACCAAUACAAUUCCUUAUCAUUGAGAGCAAUAAAACCUGCCCUCUCGCCCACAUCCAGAAAUUGUUGAAUCGGAUGGCCAUGAUCAAAACCAUGACCUUCUGGGAACACGGACAAUCCGCGCACUGUCGACCGGCCUGAAUAGACUGGCGAGCGAAGUCCAAGCCAACGGGCCACGAUAGAGUGCACGCCAUCGCAUCCUAUAACAACCUAC
RNAcentral lists this long non-coding RNA (75844 nucleotides) under Eucalyptus grandis. RNAcentral's name for it is "long non-coding RNA (EGRA_LNC003180)". The record is from RNAcentral. Lineage: Eukaryota; Viridiplantae; Streptophyta; Magnoliopsida; Myrtales; Myrtaceae.